Molecule: long non-coding RNA, 85454 nt
Filed under: Solanum tuberosum (potato)
Lineage: Eukaryota; Viridiplantae; Streptophyta; Magnoliopsida; Solanales; Solanaceae
Description: long non-coding RNA (STUB_LNC006158)
Source: RNAcentral
UCGUAUUGGGUAAAUGCUUCUGCAAAACUCUCCCUUUGGUUUCGAACAUGUGAUGGAUCCACAUCAUAAAAGAUCGGUAUGACUAUUUGUCCAUUUUUGUCCUUGCAUUCCAUGAUCUUCACUAGUUCAUCUAAGCACCACCUCGAUGUAGCAUAAUUCUUUGAGAAUACAACAAGGGCAACUUUAGAAUCUUUGGUAGCUUUCAUGAGUUUUUUUGGGAUCGAAUCGCCAUACUCUAGCCUUUUAUCAUCUUGAAAAGUGAACCCUGUUAUUCAAACCUUUAAACAAGUGACUUGUAAAUUUUUUACGAGUAUCUUCACCUCUAAAACUUACAAACACAACAUACUUCCAUUGAGGAGAGUAGUGUGAAGAACUCGCAGAAGAAGAUGCCAUGAAUUUAGUUAAUUUGUUGAAAAUUGAGAAGUAAUUAAAUAAAAAGUGUGUGGAUAGUUAGUGGUUGUGACUUUAAAUAAGAGAAGUUUCUACAAAUGAAUUUGUUUCUGUCAAAGGAAAAGACCACACACGGAGGUUGUAAAGCCUUUAUCCAACAAUUUGUUUCUCUCUCUCUUUUUUUAAGCAGAAGGAAUUUAAUCAGAUUCAUAUAUCAUCAUAUAUAUAAAAAAAAAUCUAUGCUCGCCUACGUGACACCACCACAAAUUAAAAUUACAUUUAAAUUUAUUUAUUUUCAAACUUAACCAAAAACUAAGCAUUUAAAGAACGGAAGUAGAUUUAAAUGACUAAAGAAAUACGGAGUUCCCAUAAACUCCGGAAGUUCAACAAAACAACUAACAACUAUUGCAGAAGUUAACCCCUAGAACUGAAAGUCAUUGUACCAAAACAUCUAAAGUGCAACAAGUCUAAGAAAAAGUGGGAUAACCCCAACCAAACAUAAGAAAUAUCUUAACACUAGUCUGAGUCCGAAGAGAAUGGACUAAACAAAAAUGAAGGAUUCAUGGCAGCAUGAAAGAAUCGACUCACCCUUGAUUCCGAUCUCGAUCACUGAUCUCCUAGCCGAGGUCUAUCCGUAGCCGCCUGAAGAUGCCCUAUACUCAACAAAGAACGAGCAGUAUCAGUACACAAUCACAAUGUACUGGUAGUAUCACGCGACUAUUCCAGUAAGUGAAACAUAUACAAGUAAUCACAACACAAUAAACACGCAUAUGCAGAAUAUAUAAAUCAGUUAUCAUUUCAGGAGCAAUGUACAAUUCCACAUUCUCAAUAACAAGUAAAUACAACAGUACAAUGGUCCUCUCAUGGAACCCAUACCCAAACUGUUAGAGUGUCGGAACGUGACACCCGAUCCAAUAUAUGUGUCGGAACAUGACACCCGAUCUAAUAUAUGUGUCGGAAUGUGACACCCGAUCCAAGGUAUGUGUCAGAACGUGACACCGGAUCCAAUAUAUGUGUCAGAACGUGACACCUGAUCCAAUAAGCACAACCACAAUCACAAUCAUACCCAUAAUGUACGUACUCAUAAUCAUACAAUCAAGUAUUAGGCUCAUGGCAUGCAAUUGUUCAUUCGUACUCAUUUCAUUAGGUUUGAUCUACAGUGCCUCAUUCACAUACAUGCAUGCAUUACAGUGAAUAAAUUUUUGACAUAUAUCACACAAACAUGAAAUCAAACCAUCACCUACCUCGAAACCAAGCUUGAAUCCUCCUAAGACUCUUGAGCAUUCCCUUUCUAAAUUCUUUUCGCUUGUUCGUAGUCUUAAAACAAUCAGUUAAGCAAGGAUCUAUAAACAAGGUCUAAUUACCCGGAUUACAAUAGACAUUAUCAACCCUAGGCCAAACACAAGAUCCCAAUACCCAACUUAAGGAUUUUUCCACCAUUAACUUCAGGUCAAAACCCUCCCCCAAUCAUAAUUACCCAAGAAUCUAACUUCUACGGAUUGAAAAAUGGAUUAGGGGAGUAAAAAUCUUACCUUUAGGUCGUUUCUUAGCUCUCAAGAACAAAAGUUGCAGAAAACUAACAUUUUUUGGGUGUUUACCCGAUUUAAGUCACGACUGGCCUGUUACGGCGGACCCCUUCCCGCCACAGCGGCCUCACCCUGGUGGGAUUAAUCCCGCCCUGGAGGCUUGCACGGAGACAGAGAGUCGGAAUUUGAGUUCCAAACUCCCAUUUCACAACACAUAUUCAACCCUUGACGUUAAAAAACUACUCGCUCACGCUAUGAACAGUUUCAGGAGUUCUACUCGUCCGAAUUCAAUUUUGUAAUGUCGUACGAGCUCUUAACGUCUUGGCUAUCCACUCUUAUGAUCAAAUUCAUAAUUAAAACUCUCAUUCGUUACCAGUUUUACCUAGACCUCACUGACUCAGAUUUCAUACAAAUCUGGACUAGGCUAGGAGUUCCCAAGUCACUACCCAAAUUUUUUUUUGACCCAAUUCUUUCCCCAUUGGCUUUUCCAUAACGAUGGAAACCGGUCGUUACAAUAGAUACCAAUUUAUCCAUCAGUCAUCCCCGAGUGAUAAACUAGGAAAAAGUGGCUAAAGUAAGGGUAGAGUAGUACCUGGAUUGUUGAACAACUGGGGAUACUUGUCUCGCAAGGGUAGAGUAGUACCUGGAUUGUUGAACAACUAGGGAUACUUGUCUCGCAAGGGUAGAGUAGUACAUGGAUUGUUGAACAACUGGGGAUACUUGUCUCGCAUGUCCUUCUCGAUUUCCAAAGUAGCUUCCUCAAUCGGACGAUGCUUCUAUUAAACUUUCACGGACUUUCUCUCAUUUAUCCUCAACUUUCGGAUGUUGCGAUCAAGAAUUUCAACCAGUUCCUCCUCAUAUUUAAGGUCUUUAUCUAACAAAACUGAGUCUCAUUUUAUGAUGUAAUCCCCUUCCCCAUGAUACUUCUUCAACAUGGACACAUGAAACACUAAAUGAAAUCCAGAUAAGCUAGGAGGUAAGGCUAACCUAUAAGCCACUGGCCCUACAGAGUCAAGAAUCUCAAAUGAUCCAAUGUAUCGAGGACUAAGCUUGACCUUCUUGCUAAAUCUCAUCACCCCUUUUACGGGUGACACUUUAAGAAAAACUUGUUCACCGGCCUGAAAUGUCAUGUCUCUUACCUUAUGGUCUACACAUUUCUUCUGUUGACUCUGGGCUGCUAGAAGCUUAGCUUGGAUGCUUCUUACCUUAUCCUCAGCAUCCUUCACCAAAUCAACCCCCAAAGGUUUCACAUCUCCAUCCUCAAACCAUCCUAUGGGUGAUCUACAUCCCCUCUAAUAAAGGGCCUCGAACGGUGCCAUAUCAUUGUUGGAGCGGUAGCUGUUGUUAUAGGAGAACUCACACAAACGUUGGAACUUAUCCCAAUAUCCUACAAAGUCAAUCACACAUGCCCUCAACAUGUCCUUUAACACUUGAAUAGUCCAUUCUGACUUCCCGUCCGUUUGCAGAUGGAAGGCUGUGCUAAAAGUGAGUUGAGUGCCCAACUGGUCCGAGAUGAUAGAAAGGGGAAGUCCAUGCAUCCUCACUUUCUCCUUCACAUACACCUUAGCCAACUGUUGCGCAUUAUAAUCCACUCUGACUGGAAUGAAGUGGACGAACUUAGUCAGUCUAUCAACUACUACCCAAAUGGAGUCAAACUUCCCCAAGGUCUUGGGAAGACCAACCACAAAAUCCAUAGCUAUCCUUUCCCACUUCCAUUCCGAAAUUGGCAUUCGCUGAAGCAAACCUGCAUGCCUUUAGUGCUCAUGCUUUACUUGCUGACAGUUUUGGCACUUAACCACAAACUCUGUUAUGUGUUUCUUCAUGUCAGACCACCAAAAAGUCGUUUCAAAUCUCAGUGCAUCUUGGUCACACCCGGAUGAAUGGAAUACCGCGAGCCAUGAGAUUCAGUGAAAAUUUUCUAAACCAAAUCAUCCACUCGGGGAACACGCACUCUUUACUUAAAACUGAGCAUACCACCUGCAUCAAGAGUCACAUCUUGUGCCUUGCCAGACACUGUCUUCUUUCUAAGCUCAUUCAAAUUCUCAUCCUCAACCUGUUUGGCCUUGAUCUCCUCAAUGAAAGUGGGCCUAACUUCAAUGCUAGCUGCAUGAGCUUAGACUCCAAAGUCUGGAUCUCCUUUGUCAAAGGUCGCGUGGCUACACCCAAGCAAGCUAGACUACCCAUACUCACCGCCUUUCGGCUUAAUGCGUCUGCCACCACGUUAGCCUUAACCGAAUGAUACUGGAUGGUGACAUCGUAGUCUUUAAGUAACUCUAUCCACCUUUACUGUCUCAGAUCUAGGUCUUUUUGAGUGAAUACAUGUUGUAGGCUACGGUGGUCAGCAAACACCUCACAUUUGACACCCUAAAGGUAAUGUCGCCAAAUUUUAAGGGCAAAUAGUACCGCUGCCAACUCCAAAUCAUACGUUGGGUAAUUUCGCUCAUGCACCUUCAACUGCCACGAUGCAUAAGCUAUAACAUUCUUAUUUUGUAUCAACACAAAACUCAAGCCCGAAUGUGAAGCAUCACAAUAAACAAUGAAAUCUUUAACUUUCACCGGCAGUGCCAAAAUAUGUGUUGUGGUCAAAAGAGUCUUGAGCUUUUGAAAUCUCUCUUCAUAUUUGUUAGUCCACUCGAAAGGUACCUAAUUUUUUGUCAGCCUUGUCAAAUGUGUGGCGAUGGAAGCAAAAUUCUUCACAAACCAGCGAUAGUAGCUGGCGAGCCCCACAAAACUCCUAAUUUCAGUCACAGAACUAGGUCGGACCCAAUUCCUGAUUGCUUCAAUCUUUUGGGAAUCUACCAUUACCCCUUCCCUUGAAACCACAUGCCACAAAUUAAAAGGCAAUUGAAGUCAACCAUAACUCACACUUGGAAAAUUUAGCAUAUAACUUUUGUCUCCUAAGGACACCAAAACUAUACGAAGACAGUCAGCAUGCUCUUCCUCACUUUUCGAAUAAACCAAUAUGUCAUCAAUAAAGAUGAUAACAAAGGAAUCCAGAAAUGGUUUGAACACACCAUUUAUCAAACUCAUGAAAGUUGCAGGCGCAUUUGUCCACCCAAAUGACAUUACUAGAACUUCAUAGUGCCCAUAGCGGUUCCUGAAUGCCAUUUUUGGUACAUCCUCAAGCAUAAUCUUUAACUGAUGGUAACUAGACCUUAGAUCAAUUUUAGAGAAAACCAACGCACCUUGUAACUGGUCAAAGAGGUCAUCAAUCUGAGGCAACAGAUACUUAUUUCGAAUGGUGACCCUAUUCAAAUGUUGAUAGUCUAUGCACAUCGUCAUACUACCAUCCUUCUUCUUAACAAACAAGACAAGAGCACCCCACGGGGAAGCACUAGGACGGAUGAAACCUUUAUCAAUAAGCUCUUAGAUUUGAGCCUUAAGCUCUCUCAAUUCUGCCGAAGCCAUGCGAUAGGGAGGAAUGGAGAUGGGGCAAGUGCCGAAUUCCAAAUCAAUGCAGAAAUCUAUAUCUCUAUCCGAAGGCAUACCAGAAAAAUCGGUAGGAUACACUUCCCUAAAUUUAGACACUACAUGAAUAGACUCAAUAGAGGGAUACUCAACAUCAACAUCCCGAACAUGAGCCAAUAAUGCCAAAUAUCCCUGCCCCACCAGUUUCCUAGCCCGAAUAGAAAAUAUGACCUUAGUUGGCUUAGGAUUGUACAGCCCUUCCCACUCUAACUUUUCCCUACUCGGUAUCUCUAGAGUCACAGACUUAGUAUUAAAAUUAAGCACAACAUAAUAGGGGCACAACCAAGUCAUGUCUAAGAUUAUAUAAAAGACAGUCAUAACCAAAAUAACCAAAUAAGCCCAAGUCUGAAAACCUAUAAAUAAAAUAGGACAAGCACGAUAUACAUGGGUGACUAUGAAAGACUCUCCAGCUGGGGUAGAAACAUGGAUGUGGGCAUCAAGUACAUCACAAACCGCAUCAAAUCCCAAGGCAAACCAAACUGACACAUAUGAAUAGGUAGAGCCCAGAUCAAACAAAACAGUAAACAUCCAGUCACAUACAAAAAUAGUACAUGUGAUCACUGCAUCAAACGAAUCCGCCUCGCUCUAGCCCGGAAAGGCAUAACACUGAGCCCUGUUAUCUUGACAAACAACCUCCUUGCCUGGCUGCACUGCUCCUCUACUUGCAUUACCAUUUCCCCGACCUCCACGUCCUCGCCGAUUCCCUUAUCGCCCACCUUGUGGAUGUCCUCUACCAUUAUCACCGUUGCCCACGGGUACCAGUGUUCUAGUCUGCUACUGCGCAGGGUCAAACAUGCGCGGUUUGGGACAAUCUCUCCUCAUAUGCCCGGGUUCUUCACAAUUAUAACAACUACUAUCAAAAGAUAGCCUGUCGUUAGCCGAAGGCGUAGCUCCCUAGCUAUCCUUAAUAAAAUUCUGUUGUGGAGUUCCUGAGUCACUACAUUUAGAAGUGAGAAAGACUGACUGAAUUGGCCAGGCUGCAAGCAUCGGCCAACAUGAACCUCUGGAGUAGGAACCAUGAAAGUUACUUGUGCUCUUGGGCUUCUUAGCCAAACCUUUGGCCUGCCCAUCAUGUCGAACCCGCUCUACUUUCUUUACAAACUCUAUCACCUCAUUAAAACCUUUUCCUGCAGAAGUCAUGUGAACAUACAAUACCUGUAAUUAGGGGCUCAAUCCCUUGACGAAUAGAUGAAUCAUUUCCUCCUCAGUAUUCACCAAUUGUGUAGCAUAUCUAGAAAAAACAUGGAAUUUAGCCUCAUAAGCAGCUACAUACAUACCACCCUACUCCAAAGCCAUGAACUCAUCCUUUUUGUGGUCUCUCAAAGUCCGGGGCACAUACUUUUCUAGAAAUAGAGCAUGAAACCGCGUCCAAGUGAAUGGGAGUAAAACUGACAAUCUGCAUUCCACAUAGACCCUCCACUACUGCUUAGCCUCACCCUGAAGCUGGAAGGUCAUGAACUCUACCCCAUGCUGGUGUGCAAUACCUAACUUGUGAAGCCUCUCAUAGCAGUCCAAAAUAAACUCAUAGAUGUCCCCACUCUCAGAACCAUGGAAUACAUGUGACUUUAGUUUCAGAAACUUAGUAAUCAUCUCAUGGUCAUUACCAGUCAUCAUAGGACCCAAUAGGGGAUGGAAAAAGGCAUCAGUGCCUAGAGCUCCACCCACCCUGGGAACAGUAAAAACAAUGGGGGGAUUGAUUGGAGGUUGAGUCGCUUGCACUGUGGGAAGGACUCUAGGACCGACCAAUCCCUUUAGAAAAGUCAUAAUUUGUUGAGCUAACACUGGUUCUAAGGGAGGAACACCUGUAGCCUCUGUCUGUGCAUCCCCCUCUGGUCCAACCUCCUCAUUGUCCUCAAUUUCCACAUUCUCUUCUACCUGCUCGUGAUGCACAGGAGGAGCCACAUCUCUGGGAGCAUUCUCAACUGGAGUUCUACCCCUAGCCGGUCCCACCCUUCCUCGACCUUUGCCCCUUGCUCUUCCUCUACCCCAGCCUCGAUCGCGGCCUCUUGCUGCGAACUCCUCGGCUGGUUUAUUGACAGGAGCUACGGGCCUGGCGCCGUUGAAACGUGUGUUAACCAUCUGCGGACAGAAGAAGGAAGAAGAUUAGAUACCAUUUUGGAUCGCCCGAUACCAAUUGGAAUCAAGUCAUUGCAUGAAAGGAGUAGAAAUAAAUAGAUUUCCUAAAGUACUAUAGCUUCUCGAACAAAAGUACAGACGUCUCUGUAACGUUACACAAGACUCUAGUAGACUCGUUUUGAUACGAUGAGAUCAACGAACCAAGGGCUCUGAUACAAACUUCGUCACAACCUAGACCGUCGUGAUUGACACCCACACUAACCCUCAGGUGGGAGAACCAUUACUACAACCAGAAUAAGAAACCUUAACAAAAAACUAAGCAUUUAAAGAUACGGAAGCAGGUUUAAAUGACUAAAGAAAUAUGGAGUUCCCAUAAACUCCGAAAGUUGAACAAAAUAACUAACAACUAUUGCGGAAGUUAACCCCUAGAACUGAAAGUCACUGUACCAAAACAUCUAAAGUGCAACAAGUCUAAGAAAAAGGGGUACAACCCUAACAGAACAUAAGAAAUAUAUAAGCGCUAGUCUGAGCACGAAGAGAAUGGACUAAACAAAAAUGAAGGAUUAAUGAAAGCCUGAUAGAACUGGCUCACCCUUGAAUCCGAUCUCGAUCACUGAUCUCCUAGCUGAGGUAUAUCCGUAGCCACCUGAAGAGUCCUUGUACUCAAUAAACAACGAGCAAGUGCACUAUCAGUACACAACCACAAUGUACAGGUAGGAUCACACGGCUAUUCCAGUAAGAGAAAAAUAUAAAAGUAAUCAAACCACAUUGAACACGCAUAUACAAAAUAUAUAAAUCAGUUAUCAUUUCAGGAGCAAUGUACAAUAUCACAUUCUCAAUAACAAGUAAAUAUGACAGUACAAUGGUCCUCUCAUGGAACCCAUACCCAAACUGCUAGUGUGUCAGAACGUGACACCCGAUCCAAUAUAUGUGUCGGAAUGUGAUAUCCGAUCCAAGGUAUGUGUCGAAACGUGACACCCGAUCCAAUGUAUGUGUCAGAACGUGACACCUAAUCCAAUUAGCACAACCACAAUCACAAUCAUAAUCACACCCAUAAUGUACAUAAUCACAAUCAUACAAUCAAGUAUUAGGCUCAUGGCAUUCAAUUGCUCAUUUGUACUCAUUUCAUUUGAUUUGAUCUAUAGUGCCUCAUUCACAUACAUGCAUUACAAUGAAGCAAUUUCUUACAUAUAUCACACAAACAUGAAAUCAAACCAUUACCUACCUCGAAACCAAGCUUGAAUCCUCCUAAGAUUCUUGAGCCUUCCAUAUCCGGAUUUUUUUCACUUGUUCGUGGUCUAAAAACAAUCUGUUAAGCAGGGAUCAAUAAAUGAGGCCUAAUUACCCGGAUUACAAUCGACAUUAUCAACCCAAGGCCAAACACAAGAUCCCAACACCCAACUUAGGGCUUUUUCCACCAUUAACUUCAGGUCAAAACCUUCCCCCAAUGAUAAUUACCCAAGAAUUUAAGUUCUACGAAUCGAAAAACAGAUUAGGGGAGUAAAAACCUUACCUUUAGCGCUAGAAAAGGUGGAAAACUGUCAAAAACUUACCCUGGGUCGUCUGUUAGCUCUCGAGAAUGAAAGUUGCUGAAAAAAAACAUUUUUGGGGCUUUUACCUGAUUUAAGUCGCGACUGACCCACUACGCCAGACACCAUCCUAGCACAACGGCCCCGCCCUGAUGAGAUUAAUCCCUCCCUGGCGGUUUGCACGAAGACAGAGAGUCGGAAUUUGAGUUCCAAACUCCCAUUUCACAACACACCUACAAUCCUUGAGGUUCAAAAACUACCCGUUUACGCUAAGAUCACUUUGGGGAGUUCUGCUCGCUCGAAUUUGAUUCCGUAAGGCAGUACGGGCUCCAUAACAUCUUGGCUAUCAACUCAUGUGAUCAAAUUCAUAAUUAAAUCUCUCAUUCGUUACCAUAUUUCUCUAGACCUCACCUGACUCAAAUUUCGUCUAAAUCUGAACUAGGCUAGGAAUUUCCAAGUCACUGCCCAAAAGUUUUUAUGGCCCAAUUCUUUCCCCAUUGAAUUUUCCAUAACAACGGAAAUCGGUCGUUACAUAUAUAUACUUGCAUUGUUGCAUGCAUUAGUCUACCGUUUCUCCAUAAUCUUUCUUUACCUUUGGUGAUUUGAGUUAAUCAUUUUUUUUGUCUAGGGGUGGUACAAUAUAGAUUGAAGGACAAUGUAAUUUAUUAGAGCUUUGAAUUGAUAUAUUAAGUAAAUAUAGUUGGAUUUUAAAAGGUGUGAAUGAAAUAUGAAGAGUUGCGACUUUCAUGAAAAGUUGUGGCUUUUUUGUAAAAGUUGCGACUUUCAUGAAAAGUUUUGACUUUUAUGAAAAGUUUUGACUUUUAUGAAAAGUUGCGACUUUUAUGAAAAGUUGUGACUUUUAUAAAAGGUUAUGACCUUUCUGAAAGGUUGUAACUUUUCCAUAGAGUUGUGACCUUCCCGAUAAGGCACACUAAGCAUUUGUUUACACUACCCUUCGUUGUCUAUAAAUUGAGGGAUUUCCUCUCAUUUUAAAACAACGAAAAUUCUAAACUUUUUCUUCUUCGGCACAAUUAAAUAUUCGUGUACUUUGCUCCUGUUGAGUGGCUCACUAACACCAUUGAUUUUGUAUCAAUACACUGGUGAAUAAAAUCGUUCUAUCCUGAGAGGAUCAAUUCCCUUAAACCUCGGUACUAGAGCAGAAUAAUUUUCUAAGGGGACACUGUGCAUUCAGUGGCUUGAUUUUUCUUUCUAUUUCAUUCUAUUGUUAUAGAUCUUGAUAUGUUUUUACGGUCAUUAAUUUAUGCUUAUGUUAUUAAUUACUAUAUUUGAGUACAUGCUUUAAAAUUUGUCGUUUAUGUUUCAGCAAAUUUAUUUUUAUAUAAGUAUUUGUUAGUACAUAUUAAAUAACACACAUUAAUUGAGUAUCCACACAAGUUUUAUCUACUGAAACUGUUGAAGGUUAAGUAAAAAAAUUCCUUAAAGAUCUAUACUACCAUCUCUUGAAGUAAAGAAAUCAAAUUUGGUAUGCCAUUGUAAGGACAUAAAAACCUUAUAAACCUUAUCACACCUUGAUGUGCGAAGUGAGAAGACAAUAAUUAAUAAACUUUUGACAUGACUUCAAGGAUAUUAUGAGAGAUGACCUAUAGAGGAAUAUGACUAGACUAGAGCCUCUUUUGAUCCCAAAGACAUAGAUAACUACACAAUAAAUUAAUUGUUCAUAUUCAAUAUGAAGUAUAGAUAGAUUCUCAAAGUUAUUGCAAGUUGUAAAUACUUUUCUUGAACUAAUAGAUGUGUUUCUCGAUACUGCGAUUGGAAUAGAAGUGUAGUUUCAAAUUGAACUGCAUCACUCUAGUAUGCUGAUUUUUAAAAGCACCUAAACAAACUGAAUAGUUUUGUGUAAUAUUUUUUCCUUUCAAGUAUAUAUAAUAAUUUGAAUUGUUGUCCCAUACGAUACAUUCUCCCUUUAAUUUUCCAUUUUAAUAAUUCCUUAUGCUACAUUUAAAUGAGGAACUUUAAAAUGAUAUAUGUAAAGCAAAAGGUAGUGCUGAACUUUCUACACGUUAAAAUUAGAAUAUUUGUUCACUUUCUCAUUUUUUUAAAAUUUAUUUAUCCCUUCACCAACGAUUAUUUAGUUAUUAAAAAAUUUAUAUCUCAGAUUGAUGUGCAUUUGAUUCCCCAAAAUAUCAAAUAGUAACACUUCCUAGAAACAAAAGGAUAAAUUGUAAAAUCAAAUUAAAGAUGAUUGAUUGAAGGGUAAAUGAUAAGUUAUUAUAAUUAUUAUUUUUUACAUUAUUAAUAUUCGUUACUACGUAAUCUUGUAUGUAAGAUAAUAUAGUGUUUUAGUUUUAAUGACUGAUAGGUUUUAAGUAUUAUUUUACAAAUUUCGUGAUAUUAAAUAACCGCGCGACGCAUGGGUAAUUUUACAAGUUACUUGAUAUUUUUGCAUCCAAUAUAACUUGGAUUGAAUAUUGACCUAAAUCCACGAACCUUAACUUAAACUACUAUUUUAAAAGGGAAAAUUAUAUAACUAAGUUAAUAUUUAGUAGUUAAAUAUAAUACAUAAAUAUAGUUUAAAUUAAUCAUGGAAAAUGGUUAUUGUUUAAGAAAAUGGCUAUGAGUUAGUGAUGAGUCCACAUUUUAGACUCAUUUAGGGCUUUAUUUUAAUAGAUUUAGUGUCCUCAAAUGAAUAUUUUGUGCCAAUAACUGAUGUAAGUCCUUGAUUUUUAGGUAUUUGUAUUGAGGAACAAAGCACGGACACAAAUGAGCAAAAAGGAACAAGGCAGCUGAAAGAACGAAGAAAAGAAGGCCCGAGGAUCGCCUAAACCAUUGGGCGAGUCGCCGAAUGGACAUGGUCACGCCUAAUGUUCCAGUGUGCCAAGCCCUGAAGGAGAACAUCAAGUCGGCGAUAGAAAUGAGGAGUCGGUGAGUCGCCGAACGAUUCCGCAAUGCAGUACCAUAUCGCCCAAAGUUACAGAACUUGAAGUCGCUGAAGGCCAAAGCAAAAAGGCGAUGGAACUGACCAAAGAGCGGAUCGCCGAGUGGAUCGGCGAUCCUGACUUAUUGUGCCGAAUGGUCCUUAGCAGCACAUUUUUGGUGACUAUAAAUACACUUUUGAAUAUUUAGUUUAGUAUCUAUCUUUAUGUUUUUUUUUUAAUGCAAUUUUCAAUAUUUUAUUUUUGGUAUAAUGUUUUUGAGUAGAAAGCUUAGAACUGAGUUUAGGGACAAUAUUUUUCUUAGCUUUGAUGAUUUGAAGAUUUCCAUUUCUGAGAAAUUGGAAGUGGGUGUUGAAGAUUCUUCAUCUUAGACCUUUGUAAAGACAAUAUCAAUCCUACCAAGUNNNNNNNNNNNNNAAUUAAUCUUACCCAGUUGAUGGAAACACAAUUUGGUAACGAUUUCUACCUUUUUACUAUGUCUAACUAAGACCCCAAUUCUUGGGGUGUGAUUAUGUAAUUAUGGUUUGAUUUAGCUGCUGGGUAUUGUUAUUUGAUAGUGUAAAUGAUGUUUAAAGGUAAUUUGAUUCAGUAAUUAUGGCUUAAUCUAAAGGGUUAUAUUUGCAAAUGCAACUCUACCUUCGUGUUUUUGGCUUGCUCGAGAGAGAGGUUUUAAAACCAAGAUUACUGUUUUGAUUGUCUGUGGGUAUUGGGUUGUCAUGGGUUCAGCUCGAGAGAGUGAAUAGACUAAAGCGAAUGUUGUUCUUAAUUGCUGCUUAUUGGUGUUCGAGAGAAACCAAUUUGAUUCGAGGUAAAUUAUUCGAGAGAAAGUUUACCCCUACUAAAGUCUAGCUUAUUCACUGAUUUACAGCUAUUUACUAUCAAUUGCAAUUACCCAUUUGCCUACCUUAGCCCAUAAUCCAAUCACAUCCCAAGAACUCGUCUCUAUAUUUUCUAUUUUCGUGUUGUUUAUUAUUGUAGUUGUUAAUUACAACCAAAACCCCCUUGUUAUUUGACACUUGUGUCACCCCAAACUUGAACCAUGCUUUUAUUCAUAAAUGUUUUUACCUAUGAUUGACUUGAACAUAUUCAUGCUUGACUCUUGAUUCUCAAACCACUCCCUGUGGGAAUGAUCCCAAUUCACUUAGUUGGGUUAUAUUACUACUCACGAUCAUUGGCACUUAGUAUUGGAUGAGGUGUCCUGAUACGUGAAAUCAAAAUGGCGCCGCUGUCGGGGAUUGGUGUUAAUUGAGAAUCUUUAGUUUAGUUAAAUUUUGUUCUUGUUAGUCAUAGUUGAACUUACUUAAUUUUAGUUUUGUUUUGCGUGCUUAUGUGUUGAAACAGGAAAAAUGAGUGUGAACGGUGACCAAAUGGACCACCCCCUUUUGAGAUUUUUGAAUCUUAGGUAUAACCUCCUAACGUUCAAGCAAUUGGGGGUGAGACUAUCCAUGAGAUGUGGCCGAGAUUUAUUAUUGCAUCAGUGCCCACCUCAUGGAAUGCCACAUAAAUUUCUAAUGGAAUGCUUCUAUAGAGGUCUUGGUUCCAAAAAUAGAAGCGUUGUUGAUCAACUUUUUGCAGUUGAAGUAGUAGCCCAACUCUUUGAUGGCAUGAUUAAAGCCCAACAAUGAGACAGACAAAGACCAAGAAUGGGCCGUAUUGUUGGCUCAACUGGAUGUCUUAUCCAAGAAGCUCAUGGAGUUGGAAUCAAGGUCCAAAAAGAAGGACAAGUACCUUCCCCCUCACGAGUGUCAAAAGAUGAAGCAGCAAGAGGGUGGACAAAAUGAAGAGGUCCUCUCACAUAUUCUACACAAAAUCGAAGAACAAGAUAGAGUGUUGAAUGAGAUAAAAGUGAAUGUCUUAAUGCUUAAUCAGAUGAAAACCUCCCAUUCCAUGAUUAUUCAGCUACAAGACACCCAGAUAAACCAAGUCCUGUCGUGUCUCUACUUACAACAUAAAGAGGGGUUGCCUAGUGACACUAAGGUCAACCCAAGAAUGAGGUUUUAGUAUGGACUUGCGUCGUGCCGCGACAUUAACUAAGGUGCUGCUUGGGAGGCAACCCAAGACCCCUUUAUUUCUUUAUUUUUGUUUUGGUAAAUAAUGGUGUGUUGAUUGUGCAGGUUAAAGUGUGGAGGGUGUGUGAAAAGUGUAGGUUGGCGAGCCCAAAGUCCAGUCGGUGUAUCGCCAAAGAGGUCGGCGAGCCCGACUUGGACCGCAGUUAGACGUAAGACAAUUUUAAAUUGGAGUCUGUAAAACUCAGUGAGCCCAGGAACAACUUGGUGAAUCGCCGACAUGGUCGGCGAUCGUGAUCUAGUCCGUCGUUUGGACCCCCACAUUAACUGGAGGUCCUAUAACACUCGGUGAGGAAAGUGACUACUCGGCAUAUCCCCAAGUGGGUCGGCGAGCACGACUAACGUCAGAACUGGACGGUUUUUAACAGGCCAAAGAUUUAAACUCCCAACUCUUUCACUUUCCCUCACUUUUUGUCUUCCCAAACUCACACCCGCACAUUAGUUUCUAUAUUUUUGAAUUUUUAGAGUAUUUUAGUCGUUGAUUUGUGCUCGGAUUGGAAUUACUUUGCCGCCUAGCAUUUCAGUCUUUAUUAUUCGGCAUAAAAGGUUGGUUUUUCAAACCCCGAGUUUACUUUUAUUGAAACUGUACUCUUAUGCAAAUGAUCUUAUCGUAUUUUCAUGUGAUGGGCCUCUCUGAUAGGAUUAAAAUGUUUGAUUGCCUGUUUUAAUUCAAUAAUCUUGACCGUAAUGCCUUUAAUGUUAGAUUCCCGUAAUUUUGUGCCUUAAAAUGAAUGAAAUCUUGUGGGGUUGAGCUUGCAUGUUGUUGGGUCUAGUCAGGUGAAGUCUAAGUAACCCGCAGUUGUGCCAAAUGACAAAAUUUUCCCAAUGAUAGAGCGGGCGACGUCAUCCUUAAGGGCAAAAGUUGUCAAAUGGCCAAAUUUGGCAAAACCAGGACAAGUCUGAGUAUCCCGAGGUAAUGAGUAUAAUGGGUCUUGUUUUAAUUUGAGUUGUGCAUUCUUUGAUUUUGUUUUUGGGGGUUGCGGGGUCGAAUUUGAGAAGUUGGGUUGAAAUUAGGCACGUUGGGUAGAGCUCGCCGAACCACUCGGCGGUUCAAAAAAAUCGCUCAUCUUGCCUUUAAUUUCAUGCUUUACUUAUUAAUUGGCUCUGUAACUUUUGGCGAGAAGCUUGAGGUCCCCGAAGGCACUCGAUGACUCACCGAAACUCUUCUUGAUCGCCCUUUGUCUGCACCCCUGUAGCUUAAAUUGUACUGUAACUUUCGGCGAGCUAAUCCUUGCUAGGCAAAGGAUGUCGGUGAUUCGCCGAAAGGCCUUAGAUCACCGACGUGCCAAAUCUUUCUGAAAGUUUUGAGCCAAUCCUUUCGGCGAGCCAGAUCUAGCUCGCCAAAGUGAUUCGGCGGCUCGCCGACCAGUUCAGCGGGUUUGUCUGCAACUGUUUUCUUCUGUGUUUUACUGAAUUAAUUAUAACUUUCUUAAAUGCCUUACAUACAUGGCUAGACCAAAAGUUAGUGGGAUAAAUAUGCCACCCCGAAAGUAGGUUAAGGGGAUUAAACUCAAUGAAGAUGCAGUUGCAUCCAAGGGAACAACUACCAAACUUCCCACAACUGGUGGGAAAGGCAAGGGUAAAGGCAAAGCACCUGUGUCACCGGAGGCCAGCUUCGACAGUGACAGAAUGUACGCCACUCACCUCACUACUUUUGAGAGUGAGGGUGAGCACAUGGAACCCCAGAGUGCAGCUUCUGAUGAUGAUGAGCUUGUAGCAAAUUUUAUGAUAAAAAAGAAUGAACGAUCCGUCUAGGAUCAAGAUUCCUCAACCCACCACUUCUUCUCCUCCAGUUCCAGCAUAGGCAGUGGUGCUUGCACCACCAGUUCAGGGUCCUCCCCCAGAGUCUAUGAACAGAUUAAAGACUAAGGGGCUGAGAACAAUCACUGAGGAGAAGCGCCUGCCCACAUAUGGGGUGAUUGAUAGGUACCCCGAGAUUAUGAGAUGGCUGGAGUCUCAUAAGUUCCAGAUCUUCACAAAGCCCCAUGGCCCGUAUAUCCCAAAUUGGGUCUGGGAGAUCUAUGCUGCUUAUGGAGCAUUGAUACCACAAAGAAAGAAGCAGGCAACACCGGUGGACACUUUCCUGCAGAGGCAUCUUUGCCUAUUCCGACCCCUGGGCCUUCAGGUAUCCUUAUUGUUGUCCCUUCUAAUACUCCAGGUUCUUCUACUACUGCACUGCCUCCUAGACCUGUUGCUGCUGUCUCUCGGACUCUGCUAACUCAGGCUUCAUUACUCCGGAUGGGGCAGCUUUCCCACUCUGCCGAUCGUCAGGCUGCCAGACUCGAGGCCUCCAUUCCUGGCAUGAUCGAGACUGCCCUGGCUGAUGUUGUGACACUAUUGAGUGCUACCAUUGAUGCCCUGGCGGUUAGGAUAGCGGUGUGUGAGCGUGGCCAAGGGGCCACCGAGGAGGUGACGGCUUUAAAGGAUGCUAUUGCUGGGUUGAGGAGAGAUGUGGACCAGCUGAAGUCCACCGAUAUGUCUAUGAUCUUUGGGACGGUGGAGAUUCCCGAUAAGCUAUUUGAGCCAGCUAAGCCUGAGUCUGAGGCGGAGACGGAUGAGGAGAUGCAUGGCGUUGCUGAGGAGGUUUCAUAUGAGGGCCUUACUGAGACUGAGGAGGCCAUGAUAGAUGCAGCUCUGCAGAUCUCUUUGGUUGACCUUAGUGCAACUACUGUUACUUCUGAGGUGACCCCGAGCACUGAUGCCCAAAUCCAGAUUGUUGCACUGGGCACUGAUGCCCAGACAGAUGGAGUGACUGAGUAGACAGGAUCCCUUCUUUACUACCCUCUUUGUCUUACAUUAUUUUGAUUUUUGGAUAUUAUUUUGAUUACAUUUGAGGACAAAUGAUUUUUAUUUGUGGUGGGGUGAGGCCCCUCUUUUGUGACUCUGUUUUUGUGUAUAUAUUUGGGUUUUGAGCUAUAAAUUGUGUUUUAUACUGCAUUUUGUGGAUAGUUGAGUUUGUGGCUCCUUGUUUUAAAUUGUGAAUGAUUUUUGGACCCAUCCAAAAAAAUUGUGCCACCUCUUGAUUGUGUUUGAAUAUGGUUGUUCUCUUGCAAAUUUGAGUAUCGAUCUUGAUCAAUAUUGAUGACUCGAAUAGUGCUCAUAAUAAAAAAAAAUGAAUAUGCGGUAACGAUGAGGCUAAAUGAAGUUGCAUAGAUAUGUUAACUCUUUGCAUCUCGUUGUGACUAGCCAAAUAUCAAAUUGAGUCUCUUGUGAUGAACAUUGCACACUAGCGAAAGUGUGGAGUCUUGUUUGACAUUGGUGUAAAUGCCUUGUGUGAUGAGCUUACCGUGUACCAUGCAUGAUGACACCUAGAAUUUGCCUUGUUAGUCCGGUUGACUAAGUGAUGCAAUCUCUUGAUAUGAUCUUAGGCAACUUUGAAGAAUGUGAAACAAUUUGACAUUAUACCUCUUUUGUGGCCUACCUUGUAGGUGUGUGAUCCUCGCUUGAACCCCCUUUGAGCCUUGACCUUUUCUUGGAAGAAACUUGAUGAAAUUGUGACCUUUCUUUAUCCAUUACCCAUGAUCCUCAUGAAUUAGUUUGAAUAGCCAACUUAGGCCAAAAGCCUAAGUUGGGGUGUGGUGAAAAAAGAAGGUAAAUCAAGAAGUGCAAGAAAGUCCCCUUUGACCCAUGGUUUUGAGAAAAAAAUGGAACCCCUCCAUAUAUAUUUUAAAAAAAAGAGAAAAAGAAGAAAAGAAUGAAAAACAACGAAAAAGUUGUGGAUUAAAGUUGUGAAAGUGAAAAGAAAAUGGGGUAUCCAACAGUCCAUGGAAGAUGAAUAAUGGGUGACUUGUGAGCACAAAGGAGAAUGAUAAAGAAAAGGAAAGAAAGUGUUGUUCACACCACAUUUCAUGAGGAUUACAACCAUUGAGCCUAAAUGACCAUACCCGUGCACUCAGCCCCAUUACAAGCCUUGAAAAGACUUUUUUGAUCUUCAGUGAGCUGAAACAAUUGUUGGAUGGAAAAUAAGGGCAAACUUAUGGGUAAAAUCAUGCAUUGUGUUCAUCUUUGUGAGUGUGAGCGUUGCAUUUGAUUCCGGAGCUUUAAUUUGUGAACCAUUAUCUGUGAAUAUGGAAUCAUCCUUUUUGUGAGGGCAUUUGAACACCUUUGUUGAGCUUGAAGUUGCAUUUGAAGCAAGUAUUGUGAGCUUGAGAUUCUUUGAUAAUGGUGAGUCAGAACUUGAAUUUUUGAGUGCACAAUUGAUCCUUGCAUGAGUAAGUUGAGUCUUUUUGUGUGCAUUCAUGAUUGAGUCUUAUGUAGCACUGUUUGAGACAUCCUUUUUGAACUGUUGAACUUGAGUUCUACUUGAGGACAAGCUAAAAGUUUAAGUUGGUGGUGUUGAUGAGUCCACAUUUUUGACUCAUUUAGGGCUUUAUUUUAAUAGAUUUUAGUGUCCUCAAAUGAAUAUUUUGUGCCAAUAAUUGAUGUAAAUCCGGGAAUUUCAGGUAUUUGGAUUGAGGAACAAAGCAUGGAUACUAAAGAGCAAAAAGGAACAAGGCAGCUGAAAGAAUGAAGAAAAGAAGGCCUGAGGAUCGCCUAUACCAUUGGGCGAGUCGCCGAACGGCCAUGGUCUCGCCUAAUGUUCCAGUGUGCCAAGCCCUGAAGGAUAAAAUCAAGUCGGCGAUAGAAAGGAGUAGUCGGCGAGUCGCCGAACGAUUCCACGAUGCAGUGCCAUAGUGCCCAAAGUUAUAGAACUUGAAGUCACUGAAGGCUAAAGUAAAAAGGCGAUGGAACUGACCAAAGGGCGGAUUGCCGAGUGGAUCGGCGAUCUCAACUUAUUGCGCCGAAUGGUCCUUCGCAAUACAUUUUUGGCUACUAUAAAUACACUUUUGAAUAUUUAGUUUAGUAUCUAUCUUUAUGUUUUUUUAUGCAAUUUUCAAUAUUUUAUUUUAGGUAUCAGUUUUUGAGUAGAAAGCUUAGAACUGAGUUUAGAGACAAUAUUUUCCUUAAUUUUAAAGAUUUGAAGAUUUCUAUUUCCGAGAAAUUGGAAGUAGGUGUUGACGAUUCUUCAUCUUAGACCUUUGUAAAGACAAUAUUAAUCGUACCCAGUUGAUGGAAACACAAUUUGGUAACAAUUUCUACCUUUUUACUAUGUCUAGCUAAAACCCCAAUUCUUGGGGUGUGAUUAUGUGAUUAUGGAUUGAUUUAGCUGCUGGGUAUUGUUAUUUGAUAGUGUAAAUGUUGUUUAAAAGUGAUUCGAUUCAGUAAUUGUGACUUAAUCUAAAGGGUUGUAGUUGCAAAUGCAACUCUACCUUCGUGUUUUUGGCUUGCUCGAGAGAGAGGUUUUAAAACCAAGAUUACUGAUUUGGUGGUCUGUGGGUAUUAGGUUGUCAUGGGUUCAGCUCGAGAGAGUGAACCCUAAACCCUUUUCCACACAGUCAGCUCGAGAGAGUUCUUAAUUGCUGCUUAUUGGUAUUCGAGAGAAACCAAUUUGAUUUGGGGUAAAUUGUUCGAGAGAAAGUUUACCCCCACUAAAGUAUAGCUUAUUCACUGAUUUAUAGCUAUUUACUAUCAAUUGCAAUUACCUAUUUGCCUACCUUAGCCCAUAAUCCAAUCACAUCCCAAGAAUCUAUCUCUAUAUUUGCUAUUUUCGUGUUAUUUGUUGUUGUAGUUGUUAAUUACAACCAAAAUCCCCCUAUUAUUUGACCCUUGUGUCACCCCAAACUUGAACUAUGCUUUUAUUCGUAAAUAUUUUUACCUAUGAUUGACUUGAACAUAUUCAUGUUUGACUUUUGAUUCUCAAACCACUCCCUGUGGGAACGAUCCCAACUCACUUAGUUGAGUUAUAUUACUACUCACGAUCGUUGGCACUUAGUAUUGGAUGAAGUGACCUGAUACGUGAAAUCAGUCAGGUCCCUCAUUUUGAUACAAAACUUGUAGAAACUUUUUCUCCUUUUAUGCUAAUCAACGUUCUCUCUUAUCACACCCACUUAAUUUGCUCCUAAAAUUUCUCAGUUCCCCUAAAUCACUCAAGCGAAUCAAAAUUCAAAAUUUAAAAAUUUCAUCCAUCCCUCCUCCGUCUUUUUCUUUGGGUUUAACUCAAGUUUUAUUUUUAAAAUUGCAGAUUCCAUUGCCAAAUCUAAUUGUAAGAACAUUGUAAGAGUUCAACAUCAAAAUCCAUUGAUGUUACUUUGUUGAUCGGAAUACAACGAAAAGGUUAUAUACCAUGGACUAACAAGAAGUAGAAGAUUUUGAGGUAUAACAUUGUUUUCAUUUUUUUACUGUAUAUGUAUAAUUUAAUUGAAGAUUUUGAGGUAUAACUUUGUUUUCCUUUUUUUUAAUCGAUAUAUGUAUAAUUUAAUUUAUAUGUGAGAUAGCAAAUGAGUUGUAAUCUAAAUUAUUUGUAUAUAUUACAUAAUUAAUAAACAAUUAUAACAAUUGUGUAACUAUAACAAUUAUUCAAUAUAAUUGAAAAAUUUCAGAAAUAGCAAACAUAAUAGACAUAAUAAGGCUCUAUAGCUAUAGUUUCGAUAAUUGCACUCCAUAACUAUAAUUUUGUUUGCUAUAGAGGAUGUGGUUGUAUAUUUAUGUUCGUUUGUAUAUUUGGUUUGCGAAUAUACAAAUACGGUAAGUACAUACAAAUUAUGUAUUUAUACAUUUAGAAAUUUUUCAGAACUCCGUUAGUAUAUUUCACUUGUCAAUAUACAAACAAAGUAAUUUAUUAUGAUUUUUUCAUAAAUCUUAUACAAAUAGCUAGGGUAAGCCUAUACAAAAUUCUGGAUAUAUACAAUCAGGAACCGAAUUAUAUAAAUUCUGGAUUUAUACAAAUCAGACAAAUUAUACAAAUCAAACUAAUAGAAAAAUUGGGAGAAACUAUAGCUAUAGCUGCGAAUUAGAAUUUUGCUAAACAGUAGCUAUAUCAUUUUAUAUGGUUUAAAUGUUUGCUAUUCUGGACACUUUUCCCAUAUAGCUAUACCAUCCUUACAUGUUUGUAUAGUGAAAUUUGUUAUUUAUAUAUAUCUUAUUUCAAUGUUUACAUAUACAUUUUGUUAAAUAGUAUCUAAUGACCCGUCUAACUUAUACAAUUAUUUAUAUUAAUAUUAUUUAUUUAGGAGGUCCACAAUUAGUACUAUUUUUCAUUAAGAAGAGGAAGUCUUAUUUGGUAAGGUAUUCUAAUUAUAUUCAACAAUCUUUAAUUAAAGAUUCUGAUUAGAUUCAAUAAAUUUUAAUUAUGAGAUCAUUUUCCUUUAUUACAACCGAAACUGUCCAUAAUUAGCUAACUAAAUUUAAACACCAUUUUGUAUAAUUAAUUAAAAAAAACCAAAAUAUACAAAAAAAAAUCAUUUAGCUAUUUAAACUAUAGCUAUGUUGCGUAAAUAGGCAAACUCUAGUUAAGGAAGCCUAUUAUGUUUCCUAUGAUAGUUAUUUUUAAAAUGGAAUAAAUACACUUUAAAUGUUGACGAGGCAUAAAGAGUGUAGUGACGAGUCCAAUAUUUUAAAGUUGUGGGUGCUCCUUUAGCUACCAAUCACAAAAUAUAAGUGCGCAAAUUUAACACUUGUCAUAAGAAAAAACAAUCAAUUUUUAAAAGGUCAAACAUGUUGUUAAAGUAUUUUAAUAAAUUAAUUUUUCAAUUUUUAUUUUAUUUAAUUUUGUGUUCUUACCAUGAUACGAAAUUGCAUGAUUUUGGAAAUAAUUUGGUAUACUUAUGUAUUGACAGCGAUAUUUGUGUUGACAUGAAAAUAGUAUAAUUUUGAUAUACUGAUGUUUAUUGUUAAUGUAAACUAAAUAUUGUGUAAAUGUGGCAUAUUGGUGUAAUUUGUGUUUACAAGUGACAUUAAAUUUAUAUGAAAUAGAUAUGAUAUUUUUAAAAAAAUAUAAACUGUAUAAAGUCUAAAUUAUAUUCGUAUCAUAUUAUUAUAAUAUAUAUAUAUAUAUUUGGCAUGAAGACAAUAUAUAUAAAGUUUGUAUUUUUUGAUGUAUAAUUUAUAUUUAUAAACAACAUUUUUCGAUGUGUAAUUUAUAUUUAUAUAUAUAUGUGGCAUGAAAUUGGGAUGAAAAUUGGUAUAGAGAUUAGUCACAUUUUAUAUGAAAUUGGUAUGACUUUGUUGUAAUAUGUAUACGCAUCUGAAUGAAAUUGGUAUAAUUUUUUUGUAUCAAUAUGUGAUCUACUCUUUUUAGUUGAUAUCAAAUAACAAUUAUAUUUCAGGUAAGAAAGAGAUUACCCAUUGGUAUCUAGAAGUAAUGUAAUUGAUGCAUAUAAAUUUGGUAUGUAGUUGGAUUUCAUUGAGUUCUACACCAUCUUUAUAAGUAGCUAAAGUUCAAUUUCAUACCAAAGAUUCCACAUAGAGUGAAUUAUAUAUGAUUCAUUCAGCCUAUAUAAUGGUCUGGUUAAUGCCAUAACUUCACAACUAGAAGUAGACACUAGUGUUGAUGAACAAGAGAUUAAGUAUAUUGUUAGUUAAUGAUGUCCACCACUUCGUAUACAUAAUGAUGUGGGUGUACGAGUGAACUUGGAUCCGAAGAAAAUUACCAUUGGUUUCUUUAUCAAAUACAUUGUUCAUAGCAUUAAAGAAUCGGGUUAUGAAUGUAACACCCCAAAAAUUUCUAAGCUAAGACCCGAAUCAUUCUAUAACACCUUGCAACUGUAAUUUUAAAUUUGAAUCGUUCGUGUAACACCUUGGACUUGAGAGAGGUAAAAGAGGGUUAACGGGUAUUAGGUCCAUAUGUAACGUCCAGAACCAUCGUUAUUCAGGAAAAGCAAAACUUCGGGGAAUUCAUUGGGCCACUGUCCCGCCAGGGCGGGCCAGAUGCCGUUAGGGCGGCAGCGCCACGGCAGGGUAAACUAGCGCCAGAGCGGGAUAGGCGAGACAGAAUAUAAACAACGCGAAAUCUUAUUUUCUCCUUGCUAAAAUACCUAAUUUAGACGUAAACUAUCCUAGGAACCCCCAAAAAGCUGUUCUAAGCUUGGGAAAGAAGGAGAAGGAGAUUUCUAGCGUGAGGUGAUAGAUGGAUGCGGAUUUGUAGUCAAGAUCACCGUCCCGUCGUCCGGAAAACCAGAAAUUCAUCUAUAAUCCUUUGUGAAUGCUUGGCGCUCAGGUAGGCUAGGUUUUAUUAAUUUAGUAGUUAUAAAUCUGUGCUCAGUGCGUAGUAUAAUGUAAAUCGCAAGUAGAAUUCAUGCAUAAGCCUUCGUGCACCCAAUUGAGGGAUGACUAUGUUGUGAUUCUAGCAGUUGCGUAGGAUGUGUAUCAUGAAAAGGGGAAAAACCUCGCCCUAGGGUUAGGGUUAGGUGAGGAUGGUGAUUUCAUGAUCGUGUGGUAUAUGUUGUUAUUGCUUCAUUAUGAUGCGUGUAUGUAUGUAAAUGUUGCAUUAUUGAUCACACUAAUUGUAAAUAAGGAUAUAUGAACGAUGAAUGACUUGAAUCACUUCUUGAUUGUAUGAGCAUUGAGAAUAUGCUUGUGAUUGUGAUUGUGAUUGUGAUUGUGAUUGUGAUUCUGAUUAUGAUUGUGAUUGUGAUUAUGGCUUGUUGAAUAGAUCGGGUGUUGCGCUCCGACACACUAACUUGGAUCGGUUGCCACGUUCCGACAUAAAUAUGAGAUUGGUUGCCACAUUCUGACAUAAACAUUGGAUCGGGUACCACGUACCGGUACACUAACAGUUUGGGUUUAGGUUCCGUGAGAGGACCAUUGAUUUGUGAUCUAUGUGUAUGGUUGGGAUUGUGAAAUAUUACAUUGUUCCUGAAUUGAUCCGUGUUAUGGUAACUUAUAUGUGAUUACUUCGUUAUGUUGUGUAAACCGGGGAUGUAUCUCGUUUGUUGAAUGAUUUUGGAAGAGUUGAGACCACAUCGGGAUAUGGUGCGGUAAGUGGGGACCCAAAGGUCCAAGAGUUGCUAUUGAUUAGGAAGGGGGUUGGUCGUAUUAUUAAGGGUGAGAAGUGGAGGUAGUGUACGUGAUGUAAUUACUUAGGUGGAUUCCACCUUAGAGAAAGGGGUUUCGUGGUUAGUAGUUAGGAAGCCUGAUAUAAUGUACCAUGUGGCUAGGGCUGGGUAAUAAAAAAGAGAAAGUAAGAGCACGUCGUGGGUGGUUAGUCGGAAUAGUUGUAGUUGCAUUUUGUGGACUUUUCUACGUGUUAGAAUGGUUAGGUUGUGAUCAAGAACCUAGUAAGUAGGUUGACUGAGAAAGUAGUUGGUAGUAAGAGUACUAGUGUAAUUCUGAGGUAUUUAGAGAGAGGGUAAAGGUGGAGAAACGAGGGGUUUAUUGCAUGUUCUUGCUAGUUAAUUUCUUAUUUUGUGCGGUGGGAGUCGGGUUGACCGAUGAUGUCUACCAGUAUGUGUGGUUUGUAUUGAUACUACUCUUGCUAUGCCUUUUUGGCAUAGUCUGGAUGCAAGUCGGUGAUGUUUCAUUAAGUGAAGACGAAGAAAUCUCCAGCAGCUUCUAUUUUUCCUUCCGCAUGGUGGGAGCAGUGUCUUUUAUGUAUUAUGUCCAGUUUGUACUCUUAGUAGUUGUUGUACCUGUUUAGACUAGUUCCUUGGGGGUGUUAAUUAAUUUACAAGUCUUAACCCAGAUUUGUUUAAGAAGGUUUUCAUUAUAAAAACUCUAUGAUUUCAUUUAUCUCCGUUUUUCUUUAAUUUCUGCAUGUUUGACUAUUGGGGUAUGAGGGUUCUCCGACUUAGGUGGUAGUAUGUAGGUGCCCGCACGGCCCGGUGGGUUGGGUCGUGGCACCAUAGCACUAAAAUAGAAAGGGCCACCUGGACAACUCCCUAUAUGGGCCGUAUAGGGUUGGACGGUCCAUUUUUGGUCCAUCUAGGGUCACCCGUCAACUUUAAACUUAAGGUAAAUUCUUUAAAUGUGGGAAUGAUUUUGGAUAUAAAUUAAGGUCACUAGUUGAGUUGAAAGUUUUCUUACCGAUUGAGUAUCCAUUUGAGAUUUUACUAAGGUAAACUUUACACGACUAUAUCUCUCAGCAUAUAAUGAAUUCAAUGGCCAAUGACCUAUCAAAUUAAAGGUCUUUGAGUCCUCUUUCCAACGCCACCAAUUUUGCCUUAUUUUGAGUUCGGAGUAAGAAGUUAUGCCCAUUUUAAAAAGGUCGUGUCAGACAUACAAAGGUUCAUAGACGGUUAUACGGCCAGUGAAGUUUUUCACGGGCCAUGAAGCCUUAAACGGUCUGUGAAGCCUUCCUUGAAGGGCAAUCCAUCAAUUUUUAAGUUAGGGUCGUUUUGGUCUUUCCCCUAUGCAUUUGGUACUUAAAAUACGUUGUUUUAACUCUGAUUCUAAUCCUAAACUACGACAUUUUACACCUAGUUAAGGGCUUAGAAAGUGUUAAUCAGUUCUUUUAAGUUCAUUAACACUUAAGUCAUUAGAUCAAGGUUCUGAGAGGAGAAAAGCUAGGAUUUUCAAGCGUUCUUCGAGUUUCAUCGAUUUCGCCAAGAAGUUCGUUCUUCCAGGUACGUAAGACUAUCAUAUUGUUGGACUAGUUCAUCCGCAUGCCAUACAUAUACUUUAAAAUUAGUAAAAGAGUAAUAGAGGGUUCUAUCCUUAAAUUUGAGUAUUCUUGAAAUGAGUUUAUAUUGAGUUCCGAGGUCUUGAGUUACUGAUUAUUGAAUUCUAUUUCUUGAUUACUGAGUUGCUAUAUCUUGCAUUGAGAUUCUUGAGUUGAUUGUUCAUAUCUAUUUUUCAGAAUGGACACUAUUUUCUGAGUAUUCAUUGAGUUCUUAUUGAGAAUCUUUUAAACAAAACAUAUUGCUUAAAUUGAGUUUUGAGAAAGUAAAGAGGAGUUUGAGAAACAGCUUAACCAAGAUUUAAGCAGGAGUAUAAGGGACUAAGUAUUUCCCAAAUGUUUCAUUUUUCCAUGAGGAAAAAUAAUAUUAUUUUGAGAAAAGUUAGAAGAGUUUUAAAAAAGAUUGAGUACAGAGAAUUUACCUCUUAAAGAGGCCCCUUCUGAGUAAUUAUCUCAACCCAAAUGUAUUUUUACAUUGAGCACGGAGAAACCUUGUUUUUCUCAAUGAGCAAUGAGUUUCAAAGAUAUUUAGGGCAGUUACCUCUUUUAAGAGGAUAGUUUGAGGAAUUAUCUCAAACCAGAGAAAUAGUAUGUUUUUAUACAUUUGAGCAAGAGUAUGUAUUAUUGGAAGUAGUAUUGAGCACCAAUAUGGGGGAGAGUUUAGACAACUCACAACUCCCAUAAACCAUGUCUUGCCAACGUGGGUACAAGAUCAUAGUUUUAAGAUGAAUUUUUAUUUCUUAGUGGAUCCACUUAGUUGAGAGGUUCUAUAUCCCCGCACGAUAUAUGACAGUACUGACAGUGUGGACAAGACGUUGUAUCACCACGUAACUCAUAUUGAUGGUUUUCGUUUAGAGAAUCUCCCAAUAGAGUUAAAGUGUAUUUUAAUAUAUGACUUAUUAUGGUGAGUUCAAAGAUGAGUAAGUAUUUUGUUAAUCUUUAAGUGAUUUAACUCCUUUAUUUCUUUACAUUCAACUCAUAUAUAUUUUUAUCUAUUACAGUCGUUUCAUUCAGUUAUUUCGCUUCGGCUACAUUACUUACUCGUACAUUCAAAUGUAUUGAUGUCAUUUGACCUGCAUCUUUUUAUGAUGCAGAUAUAGAUGUUCAUGAUCAUCAAUAGGCACUUCGUUGAGAUCACUCUACACUCCAGCUAGCUUUUGAUGAGCAUUCUUGUAUUCCAAAGGACUUCACAUUUACUUUCAUUUUAGUUGUUUUGAGGCGUCAUGGGUCUUGUCCUGACACCUAUCUUAAACAUUAGAGUCUUCAUAGAUAGAUAAAGUUGAGGAGUCUUUCAGUAUUUACUUUUCCUUGAGAUAUUUUUGCAAACUAUUAUACUUAUGUUAUUGAGUAUUUUACAGAUAUUUUGAGUAGAGUAUUGACUUUGAGUUUAAAUGUUUAAAAUUAUGUUUACGCCUAUUAUCACUUGAGUGAGUCUUCUGCUAAGUAGUCAGCUAGGCCAAGAGUUUGCUUGGGGAUUAGAAAUAGUUCUCGAGUAUUAGCCACGUCCAGGGUGUAGGCUCGUGGUGUGAAAAACUUUGUAUCAGAGCACAGAGUUCAAGUUUCUUAGGAUGUCUAUGAAACCAUGUUAGUAGGAUCUUAUUUAUGGCUGUGAGGGUCCCACUUCUAUAAAUGAGGGACUACAUACAUUUAAGAAAAGUUCCCCUUUUUAUACUCUAGAUAAUGCAAUAGAACUGUGUCAUUGGAAACUUAUUCAAACUUGUGCAUUUUUCAAAUAUAUUUGACUACCCCUCAUACUCAAGGUGGUUGAAAUAAAAAAGAUCAGAUCCUUAUCGAUGUGUUACUUUCAAAAAAAUUCUUCAUGACUUUUGAGGGGCUUGAGAGAAGCCCUUGAGUAAGCUUAAGUGUUUAGAUUCGAGAGAAUGGCACUUUAAUUCAUAUGAAUCGUGUGUUCUAGCUAAACACGAGAUGUACUCCCAGAAUCUAUUCUCUAAGCCUCAUUUGAGGUGAUACCCUUUAAGAUAAAAAUAUGUUUUAGAGCUUGGAUAGGGUUUUCAUCCAAAAGGAUAGUAUGAGUUACGAUGUUAUAAAUAGUAGUAGUAAAAGUGCCCAGAAUUAGAAGUAUGCAUUUAGAGGUGUAGUAACCUAAGAAAUGAGUAUAGUUAUUGAGUAAAGUGUGUAGUUGCAGUCAUGUACCUAGUAAGUCAUUAAUGAGAAGUUUUCCUUUAUGUGUAGGCAAAGGAAUAAUAAUUUUUUAUGGAUUUCAUGAUAGAAGGUAGAUAACUAGUUGCUAGCUAGGAUGAGUUAGAGUAUACUUUAACCAGAAGGGAGUUUAUGUCGAUGUAACAUCGUGUUAAUGAAGACCAAGUAUAGGUGUUGAAUAAAAGAAUAGAGUAUUCAUGAGGUGAUAGACCUAAGCUAGGCUUAUGAUUUUUGAAGGGAGAUCCCUAUGGUAUUUAGAGGGUUAUAGAACUAAUUAGGCAAGGAUGUAUAGUGAAUGGGUAAAUAUUACUUAGGUUGUGAAAAAGGUUGUGAUGAUAAUCAGUAAAUAGGUAGACUGAGAGAUAAAGAUUGACUACUUGUCAAGAGAACUUAGUGGGUGGGUGUUUCUUAAUUUUAUCUAGUAGUUGUAAGUUAGUAUAGUAAGUGAGCAAUUAUACUGAUAUUAGUAUUUAGUAAUAGACACUAAGCUUGAAUUUGAGAUGAGUGUCGUGAUCAAAAGGAUGGCAACAUGAGGGAGAUGAUGUUACGUUAGUUCGAGAUCUGAUCUAGUAGGUUUGACAUAAAUUAGGUGAGAAAUUAAGGUGUUAGUUUUUGCUAAGUGUGAGUGGUACAAGUGUGGUAUUAUUACUCUUAGAUGAGAUCAAGAGAGAAUGGCUAUGUUAUUAUAUUAGCAAGAGCAUUAAGAGGUGUAACUGAGAUCGUAUGUAGUCAGACGAGGUUCCAAUUAAGUUAAUGAUUUUCCAUGUGUGCCUAGAUAGUAUAUUUGAGUUGUCAAUGUGAAAUAGGCUGAUGUAAGCAUUAUUUUUUCCUUAAGAGUUAGAUGAAGCGGCCUUAUAAGCCAAUGAGAAGAGGUUAAGAGAAGCAUUUUGGAAAGAAGUCUUAGAAGGAUCCCUGGUAACCACACAUAGCGAGUUCAGUAGCCAUGAGAUAAGCCUUUUCCGAGUAUUAGAGUAAAGAGAAUGUAGACCAGUUUAGAGAUGAUGGAAUAUAUCCAUAGUUUUAAAGUUUCAGCUUCUAACCUAAGGGUGAGAUGAUAAGAUGAGAAAUCAAGUCAAGUAUGGAAAAUCAGAUAGCGAUGAGUUCAGAAAGAGUUUUAAAGAUAUAUCAAACAAUUCAUAAUCUUGCGUAUUCAUCAAAGUUCAGUCAUUCCAAUAUCUUAUUAAUAUCUCUAAUAUCAGCAUUGUGUCCAUAACAUGUGCUCAUACACUUUAGAGAGUUUCACAUCUAUGCUCAGUUUCGAGAAUGAGGGGCAAAGUAUGCUCAGUAUCAUAAAUUUAUGGUUUGAUCUCCAUGGCUAGCAACAUAAUGUUAUGUCAUGCAUAUUCUUAUAUCAAAAUUCUUGAAAGAAUCGUGCUUAUGAUCUUUCGCCCUAAAGUUCUUUCAGUGAUCCUUUUUAGUUAGAGAGUGAUGUUGAUGAUAGUAGUUGAGUGAUGAUAAAAUGAGAAGGUUGAUGUUUCUUAUGUUGGUAGAAGUAGUGUGCUUAUUUCAUCUAAGGUUAUAAAGGUGGAUGAAAGAUGAAUGAAGUUUUACUAUGAGUAAUAGUUAGGUAAGAGUAGUUAGUUAGUUCCUGAUAGUAAUACGUGAAAUUUAAAUUGAUAGAGAUGAUGAGAACAGGAGGAAUUCUCAUAAGGAUUGGCUAGUAGGAAUCCAUAAAUUGACUAUAGUACUAGGCUUAUAUGUGGUGUUAUUACAUGUGGAUGAAUACAUGAUGCAUUAGAUGUUUCUUGACUAGGACUCAAAGUUUUGUUGAAUAUAGUGGUAAGGAGUAGUAUUUAUAGGAUGAGAUUUCCUAUAGAGGCAUAAAACCUUAAUCUUGUGGUUUAGAUUCUUAUAAACAUCUCAUGUUUAGCUUCUUGUGAUAUAGAGAUUAGGCUUAAACACAGUAAGACAAACAAUAUAACUUAGACCUUGGUAAGAGUAGUUAUAAACCCUUGUAGCAGUUAUGAGUUGCAGCUAAUGAGGUGCAGUAUUCAUAAAGGAGGACAUGAUUUAGAGGUGUUUCUAGGCUUGAAAGCUAGCCGUUGUAUUUCUUAAGGCAUAAUGUCUUAUUCUGAAUUGAUGCCCAAAUACCCUUGUUUCAUGUAAGAUAACUUCAAAUAGAGCGUGACUAUGUUCAAAACAAUAUCGUCCUCGACUUAUGUGUUAUAGACAGUUCCAAACUCUUAGUAUGAAUCAGUUCUGUCCAUGUUAGUAGGCAAGUUCAGAAGUUAGAAAGAUAGAAAGAGUAACUCUCUUCCUUUCCAUUCUUAAUUUAUCCGUCAUUCGAGGAUGAAUGAUCCCAAGGGGGAGAUAUAGUAACACCCCAAAAACUUCUAAGCUAAGAUCCGAGUCAUUCUAUAACACCUUGCAACUCUACUAUUAAAAUUUGAAGAAUUUGUGUAUUGCUACACCCCCUUUCCACUAUCUCAAAUAGAGCACUAGCCGUAAGAGAAAGAGGUGUUGAAUAUGGCAAAUCAUCUGCUAAGCAAGCCGAAAGAAACAAACAAAGAGUCUUACUUUAAAGAAAAAGCCUAUUCUUAUUCUAGAAAUCCUGCACACUAUUAAUCGAAGGUACUUAGCACUCACCGCUAUAACAUGUGGAAAUUUAUUGGCCCGACAUCUAUUGCAAUGAAUUUUUAGCUUUUCCUUAGCCCUCUUCUUUAGCACUGGCUUACUCACAAGAAGCUUCCUAGAAGAUGGCUCUUAGUUAGACUUGUACUAGUUAGGAUAUCACAUAAGGGUUCUAUUCCCAGUUCUUAUUACCCAGCUUUAUGAGAAAGUGGGAGAUCUCUUUCAUGGGAAAUCUGAUGUACGGGUCACACCGACCUUUUCCCAUGACAUCCAAUUGAUUGAGGCUGAUUAGUUACGGGACGACGUGGCUCAGAGAAAGCCGCCACCACCACACCACACCCAUUGUUGAUCCAAUUUUAUUGGCUUCUGAUGUCACCACACCUGCUCCUUCUCGGAGAAGGCAUGUAUAUCUUCCUCCCCCACUGUGGUUUCCACCUCUGCAUCUCCUUCUCCUACUACUACUAUUACUACUACUACUACUACUGUUGUUUCAGAUAUGCCUACCCCCGCUCCUACUACUCAUUCCCCUUUGACCUAGACUUUGAUUUAUCAAAUAGGCAGUCUUGCCCAAUCCGUGGAUGUCGAGCUGCCAGGGUUGAAAAGGACAUGCCCAAGCUGAUUGAUAGGGAAAUUGAGAAGGCAUUGUCACCUUUGAGGGAUAGGGUGAACAAAUGUGAGGGGUUGGUUGAAUCACACAACGUGAGGUUGGACAACCUCACUACUAGGUUAGAGGCCCAAAAGUCUUGUUUGGGUUAGGGAUACAGAUUCUGAAACCCCUAUUCUUGAGUCGGUUCCUAUUGUAUAUGAGUUUUUGAAAGCAUUUCUUGUUGAUUUAUCCGGUGUUCCUCCUAUAAGGGAAAUAGAUUCAUGUAUUGACCUUCUCAUAGAUAAGCAACCUAUCUAUAUUCCUUCGUAUCGUAUGGCUCUAGCAGAACUAAAGUAAUUAAAGGAGAAAUUGAAAGAUUUGGUGAUUAAGGGUUUCAUCCGACCGAGUAUCUAUAGUUUUGUUUGUUCGUAAGAAAGAUGGUUUACAUCACCUGUCUAUUGACUUCAAGCAACUAAACAAGUUUACCCUUAAGAAUAAGUAUCAUCUUCCAAGAAAAUAUGAUUUAUUUGAUUAACUCCAAGGAGUGGGUUACUUUAUUGACCUCUGGUUGGGUUAUCACCAAUUGAGGGUGAAGGAAGGUGACAUUUCGAAAAUAACUUUUCGAACUUGGUAUGGCCAUUAUAUGUUUUUGGUAAUGUCGUUUUGUUUGGAUAAUGCUCAGGCCGCAUUCAUGGAUUUGAUGAAUAGAGUGUUUAGACAAUAUCUUGAUAUGUUAUUUUCCUUAUCGAUGACAUAUUUAUUUACUUGUGGAGUGAGAAUGAGCAAGCAAAUCAUUUGAGGAUUGUGUUGCAAGUCCUCAAGAACCGACAACUAUUUGCAAAGUUUUGUAAAUGCAAGUUUUGGUUGAGAUGUAUGAAUUUUCUUGGUCACAUUGUUUCCCGUAAGGGUAUUGAGGUAGAUCCUAAGAAUACGGAUGCGGUUAACAUUUGGCCUAGACCUCUAUCCCCUUAAAAUAUUUGAAGCUUCUUGGGCUUAGCUAGUUAUUAUAGAAGGUUUGUGGAAGGGUUUUCUUUGAUUACCUCUCCAUUGACUGCAUUCACCCAAAAAAGUUCUUAUUGUAGAAAAAAUGUGAAAAGAAUUUUCAAGAGUUGAAAGAUAUACUUAACUCCACUCUAGUGUUGAAUUUACCGGAAAGGUACGAUGGGCUUGUUGUUUAUUGUGAUGCUGCAAGGAUUGAAUUAGGUUAUGUUCUUAUGCAUAAUGGGAAAAUUAUUCAAGGUAACUUAAGAUUCUCGAAAAGAACUAUCCUACUCAUGUUUUGGAACUAGCGGCUGUUGUUUUUUCCUUAAAGAUUUGGAGGCAUUACUUGUAUGGUGUCCAUGUUGAUGUUUUUAUCGGUCACAAAAGUUUGCAAUAUUUGUUCAAGAAAAAAGAUCUACAUUUUCACCAACAUAGAUGGCUAGAACUCUUGAAGGACUAUGACAUGAGUGUCCUCUAUCACCCGAGCAAGGCCAAUGUGGUGGUUGAUGCCUUAAGUCAAUUGUUUAUGAAUAGUGUUGCACAUGUUGAGGAUGGUAAGAACAAACUGGUUCAUGAUAUUCAUAUACUAGUUCGUCUAGGUAUUCAUUUGGUUGAUUCAAGUGAGGGUAGUGUUGUUGUUCAUAAUGGUUCAUAAUCGUCUUUUGUGUCGGAUGUGAAAACCAAGCAAUGUCUUGAUCUGAUUUCUAUUUAGUUGAAGGAAGUGGUGCUUAAAAAGUUUGUUGAGGCGUUAUCCCAAGAGGGAUAUGGUGUGCUACGAUAUCAAGGUCGUUUGUGUGUUUCCAAUAUUAAUGACCUGAGAGAGCAAAUUUUUUCAGAAGCCCAUAGUUCUUGAUAUUCCAUUUACUCGGGAGCCACCAAGAUGUACCUUCACUUGUGAGAGUUCUAUUGGUGGAAUGAGAUGAAGAAUAAUAUUGCAGAAUUUGUGGCUAAAUGUCCUAAUUGUCAACAAGUAAAAGUUGAGCAUCAAAAGUCGGGAGGUUUGUCCCACGAUAUUAGUAAUUGUACUUUGAAGUGGGAAGAUUAAAAUAUGGAAUUUAUUGUUUGUUUACCCCACACCCGAUGACAACAUGACUCUAUUUGGGUUAUUGUAUAUUGUAUGAAAAAGUCGGCUUAUUUCAUUCCCGUCAAGGUUUCUUACUCGGCGGAGGAUUAUACUAAGUUGUAUCUAUAAGAAAUGGUUAGGUUGCAUGGAGUUCACCUAUCCAUUAUCUCCGAUCGUGGUACCCAAUUUACUUCUCAAUUUUGGAAGUCUUUCCAAAAGGGUCUUGGUACUCGUGUCAAGCUUAGUAUGACAUUUCAUCCUCAAACUGAUGGGCAAGCGAAACGUAAAAUCCAAAAUUUGGAAGAAAUGUUGAGAGCUUAUGUGAUUGAGUUCAAGGAUAAAUGGGAUGAUCAUUUGCCUUUGAUUGAGUUUUCAUAUAAUAAUAGUUGUCAUUUAAGUGUUGUUAUGCCUCCAUUUGAGGCUCUUUAUGGUGGGAGGUGUAUAUAUCCUAUAGGUUGAUUUGAAGUUGGUGAGGUUGAUUUGAUAGGUCUCAAGUUGAUUUAUGAGGCUAUGGAAAAGGUUUGACUCAUUAGAGAAAGGUUGAAAAUGGCUCAAAGUCGACAAAAGUCCUAUGCCAAUGUUAGAGGAAGAGAUCUUGAGUUUGAUGUUGAUGAUUGGGUUUACUUGAAAAUUUCACCUAUGAAUGGUGUAAUGAGCUAAGGGAAUCUUAGUCUCCGAUACGUAGGCCCAUAUGAAAUUUUGAGGCGUAUUGGUUAAGUUGCUUAUGAACUUGAUUUACUUAAUGAUUUAGCAUAGGUACAUCCAUUUUCCAUGUAUCACUGUUGAAGAAGUAUAUUGGAGAUUCAAUAUCUAUUGUACCAUUAGAGAAUCUUGGUAUAAAGGAAAUCCUUUUUUAGGAGGUUCCGAUUGAGAUUUUAGAUCGGCAAGCUUGAAAGUUGAGAAACAAGGAGGUGGUAUCUAUAGAAGUGUUGUGGAGGAAUCAAAUGGUGAAUGUGCUAUUGGGAGGCUGAGGCCGUUAUAAUAUCCCAAUAUCCUCAUAUCGUUCCCUCCAUUCCUAUUUUAGCUUGAGGUAUAUAACUCCUCAUGGUUCUUUCUUUCGGAUUCAUAUGUAGUAGUCAUUCUCAUAUUUCCAUAUGUAUGCAUGUAUGUUUUAUGAAAUGAUAUUUUGAAUAUGUUUUAACUUGGAGUCAAUUUUCCUCCUUGGAUAUGUGCAUUUUGAUGAAAUUAAAUUCAUGUUGGGUUGUUAGUUUCUCUCCUACUCUCUUCAUGUUAGCUUGAGUCCCAUUUGAGGAAGAAUGUUCCCAAGGGGGAGAUAUUUUAACACCUUGGACUUUUAUAAAGGUUUAAGUGGGUUAACGGGCAAGUCUACCGACCCUAGCCCAACCAUGAACCUUUCACGGAUGCCUAAAUGGCUUGUCAAAGGGUCCAUAGCCUUUGGUGAGGGAAAGGGUGGCCGUUUAAGGAAACCCAUUUUUUUCCCUCACCUUCACGACCCCAUUCAUGGACCGUGAAAGGCUAAACGGUCCGUGUAAGGCACUCAUACAGGGCUCCCAUCAACUUUUUAAGACAAAGCUAUUUUGGACGUUUCCUAUGUGUUUAAUAACUAAGAUAUGUCAUUUUAACCCCUAUUAUAAACCUUAUAUAAGUGAUUUAUGUCCUAAAACUACCCAUUCUAAAUCAUUCUCCUAAAUCAUUAAUUUCCCUCCAAGUUCAUCCCCAAAAGUUCUCUCUAAAUCUAAGGAAGAAAAAGCUAGGGUUUCACUUCAAGAUCUUCAAUUCACCAUACCUAUUGGGCCUUGAUCACUAAGGUAUGUUAGUAACUGAAUAAAAAUGAAAAGACUAAUCAUAAACUAUAACUAGUUGUCUAUGAAGCCUCUAAUACAUAACUUAAUAUUCAAGUUUAUAGGUGACAACAUUCAAGAAGUUUUGGUAAGGGACGGCUAGAUAAUGAACACCAUUAAUUUGGAAAAUGCAUUUGGUGUUAUUAUCAUAAUAUGUAUGGGUUGUUUAACGAUUGAUGAAAUUAAGUUAUGUCAAUUGAGGUUAGAAGCUAUACUACGAUUUCAUGGAUUGAUUGUAUAUCAAGGAGGGUCAGGAUACGACUGCUCCAAUAGCAGUGAUGUUUACUUGGUUAAGUUAUUAAGAGUGUUAAAAUUGUGGAGAACCUGGGCAUAUGAGGAGGAAAUCAGCGAGGCCGUGGAGGUCGGAGAAAUGGUAAUGCAGGUAGAGGAGCAGUGCAGCCAGGCAAGGAGGUUACCCGUCAAGAUGACAGGGCUCAAUUUUAUGACUUUUUGGGCAAGAACGAGGCUGAGGUAUCUGAUGCAGUGAUCACAAGUACUAUUAUUGUUUAUGACUGAAUGGCUAAGGUAUUGUUUGAUCUGGAUUCUACUUAUUCUUAUGUGUCAGUGCGAUUUACCUCAGAAUUUGAUAUGAUUUGGGAUACACUUGAUGCCCCCAUCCAUGUUUCUACCCCAGUUGAAGAGUCAGUCAUAGUCACCCAUGUAUAUUGUGUUGUCCUAUUAUGUUUAUGAAUUUUCAGACUUGGGUUGAUUUGGUUAUGUUGGAUAUGACUGACUUGAUAUAAUCUUAAGCAUGACCUUGUUGUCUCCCUAUUAUGGUGUGCUUAAUGGUAAUGCUAAGUCGGUAACUCUAAAGAUCCCGGGUAAGGAAAGGUUAGAGUGGGAAAGGGGUACAAGCCUAAGUCAGUUAAGGUCGUAUCUUUCGUGCGGGCUAGGAAACUGGUGGGGUAGGGUUGUUUGGCUUAUUUGGCUCAUAUUCGGGAUGUUGAGGUUGAGUCUCCCUCUAUUGAGUCUAUUCAUGUAGUGUCUGAAUUUAGAGAAGUGUUUCCUACUGAUUUGCCUGGUAUGCCUCCGGAUAGAGAUAUAGAUUUAUGCAUUGAUUUGGAACUUGGUACUCGCCCCAUCUUCAUUGCUCCUUAUCGCAUGGCCCCAGAAGAAUUAAGAGAGCUUAAGGCUCAAAUCCAAGAGCUUCUUGAUAAAGGUUUCAUCCGUCGUAGUGUUUCCACGUGGGGUGCUCCUGUCUUGUUUGUUAAGAAGAAGGAUGGUGGUAUGAGGACUGAUGAUUUUAUCAUAAGCCAUAAAAGAGUGGAUUGAUACCGGAAUGAUCAGCUUAUGAAUAAAGAAGUCCCAAUAAGUAUACUUGGGUGAAGGUAAUUGAAGUAUUUUUAGUAAGAAAGUGCAUAUAAAAUUUGGUUAGUCCUUUUGAAUUUGAUGGAUAUACCUGAGUUUGAGGUGUCAUGUCGAUGAAAAGGUUGACUUUGUACUGAUAGUCAGGGCUAACCGAGUGUAAUGGUAGUAAGAGUGUGUGAUGAAUUGUAGUGGAAUGCAACUAUAUAAUAAGAUUGUUGGUUAAGAGAAUUUUGUAUAGUAAUUACGACUUGUGAUUAUCUAAGGUUGUGGUUUUCUAAUAUUUAGUGAGUAACUUGAUUGUAUGGAAAGUUUUAAGAGAUGGUGGGACACCAGUCGAAUAAAAUUUUAAAGAGCUAGAGUUAUAAUGAAGGAAAAUAUAGUGGAAUGUAGUACAGCCUUUAGAGAGAGGCGAGAGCAAGAACAUUUUAUUUUAUUGCAAAGGCCAAAGAGAUAUCUUCAGAGGGGUAGAUAAUUGGGCUCAGAGACGCAUGAUUUCAUUCAUUUUGUUGUCGCUGUGGUAAUAGUGUCACAAGUCCGUCAGAUUGGUUAAAAAACUAUUGGAAAAGACUUAAGAAAGGAGUGUACAGACAUUAGCUCGAGCGUGAUGAUAAGUGCGUUGUUUUUGUUUUAAGUUUAGUAAUGAGUACGAUUGAAUUGUUAGCGAAAGAUAUUGUAAGAUCGCUGGAGAUGUGAUCCAUGAUAAGCGAAGAUCCAUGAAUUCAUAAAAAUCUUCAAGAUAUAAGCUAAUGUUGAUAGAUAAGGGGAUUGUCUUAUACGGUUGAAUUUACAAUUCAGAUUCUUCAUUGUAAAUCUACAUUUGUGGUGAUAUAUAUUGUCAAGGUAUGAAUUUGCAAGGUGAGAAAUGAUCAAUUGUAUCUGGUAUUGAGAAUUUGAAAGGACUUACACCUGGGUUGAGUCGUAAAGUUGAUUAUUGUUGAUUGUUAAAGUACCUAAGAAAGGUUUUCAUUUAAAAGGUGUUGAUUUAGAGUAAGGUAAAUGGUCGGAUUGGUUAUGAUGGUUGUUAGUAUUGAGAGUGUGGGCUUCAAUGGAAGGACGUGAAGAGUAUGUGGAGUCAACUGAAUGGAAAUGACUAAUAUCGACUCUUUAGAGGAAAACCUUUAGUGUUAUUAAAUAUUUAUUUAGUAAAAUUGUUACGUGACCAUCUAUUUUAUUUUGUACAUGGUUGUGAGUAUGAUUCACUAGCUAAGCUCACGUGUGUUUUCACUUUUGUGGGUGGAUCCCUAGUGGUGGAUCAGGUGUACUGAUCCUGCGAUUUUCUCUUGGUUGAGUGGGAUGAUUUCGAAAGACAUGGUUAUUUUAGAUGACUUAUAUGGUGUUGUCUUGGAGCUUUUAAAGUAUUUCAGUGGUUUUACAUAUACCGCCUUGCUUAUGAGAGUUUAUAGAAGAGCUAUCAUGUGUAUCUAUGGUUGUCCGACAAUCUUAAUAUUCAUCUAGUCGUCGAGGUCAUGUAUCGAUUAUGUGUGUUUGAAUGUGGGGAUCAUUGGGUCCAAUUCUACUGUUCUUAAGAGGUAAUCUACAAUUACUAAAUCUAGCAUUUCGAUAGUGUUGUUGGAGGGUUUGUAUGCUUGGACAUAUCCCUCGAUGAGUAUCUGAUGUCUAAAGAUCAAUUUUUUAUAACUUAAGCUCAUGGAAAUUUGGGUUGUGAGAUGGAGAUAUUGAUAAGAACUAUGAUUGUUUGGGUAUUAUGAGUGUGUGUUGGUUGGUUCAGGUUCACUUCUAAUUGUAGCGAGUAUUUAUUUAGGAUUUUAUCAUGGUUAUGUGAGAAAAGAUUAUUCCUAAUGUUUGUGUCAAAAUCCUUGGUAACAUGUUGUAGACAUGUGUAUGAUCAACUUUGGUGGUUAUUGGAAAUAGCUUUGUUGUUAGUUAAGUGUAAUACAACAAUAAGUAUCACUCGAGUAUGGUGAUGACUUCAUUGAGGCAUUGUAUGGGAGGAUGUGUAGGUUUUCAAUUGGUUGGUUUGGGGACGGAGAUUAUAUCAUAAAGUGAGACUCAGUUUUGUUAAACAAGACCUUCUGUAUGAGGAAGAACUGGUUGAAAUUAUUGAUCGCGAUGUCUGGAAGCUAAGGACAUGCGAGACAAGUAUCCCUAGUUGUUCAGCGAUUCAGGUACUACUCUACCCUUACUUUAACCAGUCUUUCCUAGUUGAUCACUCAGGGACGAGUGAUGGGUAAAUUGUUAUCUAUUGUAACCACCUGAUUUCGUCGUUAGGGAAAAGCCAAUGGGGAAAGAACCUAGCCUAGUGAAGAUUUGGAUGAAAUUUGAGUCAGUGAGGUCCAAGGGAAUCUAGUAACGAAUGAGAGAUCUAAUUAUGAAUUUGAUCACAUGAGUAGAUAGCUCAGACGUUAAGGAACCCGUACGACUUUACAGAAUCAAAUUCAGGUGAGUAGAACUCCCAAAACUGAUCCUAGCGUGAACGGGUAUUUUCUGAGUGUCAUGGAUUGAAGGUGUGUUGUGAAAUGGGGGUUUUAAACUCUGAAUUUAACUCUCUGUUUCUGUGCAAGCCACCAGAGCAGGGCGGUUAUAGCGGGAUGAGGUCUGCCACAGCGGGACAAACGCGACUGAAGUUGGAAAUAAACCCCAAAACGUCAUUAUUCUACCAAAUUGGUUCUUGAGAGCUAGGAGACGACCGCAGGCGAUUUCUUGACAUUUUUCCACGACUUUUGGUGCUAAAGGUAAGAAUUUUACUCCCCUAAUCCAUAUUUCGAUCCGUAGAACGUAGUUUCUUGGGUAAUUAUUGUUGGGGGAAAGUUUUGAUCUGGGAAUUAUGGUGGAAAAACCCCUAAUUUGGAUAUUGUAAGCAUGGGUUGGUCUUGGGUUAUUGGAUUUGUUAUAAUCCGGGUAAAUUAGACCAUAAUUGUUGAUCCUCACGUUUGUGAACGAAUGAUUGUAUGCCAUGAAUCAACACUUGGUUGUAUGAUUAUAAGAAUGUACAUUGUGAUUGUGAUUGUGGCUUGUUGAAUGGAUCAGGUGUCACGUUCCGACACACUAACUGGGAUCGGAUGUCACGUACCGACAUAUAUAUUGGAUUGGAUGUCACGUUCUAACACACUAACUUGGAUCGGGUGCCACAUUCCGGCGCACAUAUGGGAUCAGGUGUCAUGUCCGGCACACUAAUUGGGAUUGGGUACCACGUUCCAGUAUACUAACAGUUUGGGUAUGGGUUCCAUGAGAGGACUAUUGAAUUGGGUUCCACGAGAGGACCAUUGACUUGUCAUAUAUACUUGUUAUUAAGAAUGUGGAAUUUUACAUUGCUCCGGAAAUGAUAACUGAUAUAUAUAUUAUGUACUAGAUUCACCGCACGUGCGUUGCACGUGGUUGCCUCGUCUUGAGAUUGACAUGAAUAUGUAAAUGUAUUAGACUAUAUUAGUCACAAUAUAUUGUUUUUUUUGUAGAUGACUUUUCCUAUAGUUGUAACCGUUAUUUAUGGGUCUCCAAUUAUAGAUUCCUAAAUAAUACUGCCUUAUGCUCGAGUGAUUUACUUAUUCAUGGUGUUUUUUGGCACUGCCUUUGUUAUAAAAGUAACUUACUGAAUAGUUGAUAACCAUAAAUUCCAUACAAAUGGUGAAGUGGUGAUACCACCGAUAAAAGUUACAGUAGUGCUGCCCUCACUAUUUGUUACAUAAUUCAUCGGGGUAUUAUUUAUACAACACGCAACAAUAUGAACACAAAAUUUGGUAUUUGUUUCUUUAGUAGUUGUCUUUGUUUGACGCGAUCAUAAAGGGUGUGGAUUCCACUUGUAUUGAGUUGUAUCAAACUAAAUAGCUGACUAAAUUUUCAACUAAAAGUGAGACCAGCUCAUUAGGUACAUAACUCCCCAUAUAUUGACUGAUCAAAAUUGCUUUACCAUCUAAACUCAUAGACAAUUUUCAAGAUUACAAUGCUUCAUUAACAAACACACUUUUCAUUAAUGGUCUCUGGUGAGGAUUUUCAGAUGAGUAGACGCUUCAAUCAUUGAUUAUGCACAAAGAGACCAGUUAGAAGGGACUCUGCUUGACAACAAUUGUGGCAUAUUAUGAACAUUGACAUCGAGAGGGAGCAUAUGAUACUCAAUAUCUAGCUAUCUGAAUAUAUUAACCAUUUCCUCAACUAAAAGGGCUCUCCUUGCCCAUCUCUCUCUCAUGUCUUUAAAAUUCAUUCUGUGUGUAAUCCAUACUGACCAUCUUAUCCUGUUUAAGUCUUCAAUAUCCCUCCUCGCAACUGAGGUAUCUGGAUACCAAUGAUCACUUUUGUUUUGAUCUGAAUAUACCUAACAGAACAGAAGCCAUACCAUAAAUUAUUAUAACGGAAAGAAUAUUACUCACUUCGUUUCAAUUUGUUUGUUUGGUUUUGACUUGGUAUAUGGAGUUUUAGGAAGUUAAGAAUACUUUUGAAUCUUAUGGUCUUAAGCAUUGUGAUGUGGAAAGUUGAUGUUAAAAGGUUGCAAAAAGGAAAGAGAUGUUUUUUUUAAACGAACUCAAAAGGAAAGUAAGACAAAGAAAUUGAAACAGAGGAGUAACUGGUUUCUUGCUUGUGCUGAGAAGCAUGUCAAAAGGGGGCGUUUUGUUCCGUCUAUUUUACCAACAAUAAUAAUUCCAAAAAAAUAAUAAAGAUAGGUGAUAUGUGUGUAGAGAGACUACUAAGAUGAGUGUAUUCUUAUUAUGAGCAUCAUAAAAGAGCAAGUCAACCACUAUAACGCAAGAGAUCUGUAAAGGAAACAACUAAACUUUAUCAAUGGAAGAUGAAUAGUUGUAUAUAACUUGUUAUUUUCUCUUUCAUCAAUGCUAUUUUUUCCAUAGGAGUUGAGAUAUGCAUGCAGAAUUCGAUUGCAUCUCAGGACCACGAUAGUAGUUACUUAUGGGCUUUGUCGAUAAGACAUUGUUGGGAUAUAUGAUCUUCAGGUUAUCGUACUUCAGGAGUACCGUUGUCAAUGUAUUCAUCUAUUCUACAAUCAGCUGAAACCCAAUAAUCAGAAAAGGUCCUUUAAUAUACAAAUAAGAAUGAUAUCUAAAGAUCUAUAUUAGAGUGGAUUAAUUCUUACACGAACUCCGUCAAUUUCAACAUGGUCGCCUACAUCAAAUGGGUGCAUCACAAAUAAGAAUAUUAUUGCCUUGAAUGUUGUCUUGGCAGUGUUUCCAAACAUGAAUACGACCAGAAGAGCCUAAGAGCUCAUAAAGACCAGGAAAUGUGUAGUGGCAACAUUGAGUAUAAAAAGACAGAUGACCAGUAUGAUAACCCCUACGAAGAUGUUCAACAAGUGAUGCAGUUUGUUCACAACAAUCUUUGUGUCUCAGCCGCCAUGUGGCCUGAAUCUCGAUGAGUGCAGGUACCUGGGAGAUGAGUGCAACAAUGUUAACUUCAGGGGUAAAAAUGUAUUAGUACCAUUGAUGAGGGUAGCGUAGGGUAAUAGUCUGCAAUAAUUGGCAGUAAUUUGAUGNNNNNNNNNNNNNNNNNNNNNNNNNNNNNNNNNNNNNNNNNNNNNNNNNNNNNNNNNNNNNNNNNNNNNNNNNNNNNNNNNNNNNNNNNNNNNNNNNNNNNNNNNNNNNNNNNNNNNNNNNNNNNNNNNNNNNNNNNNNNNNNNNNNNNNNNNNNNNNNNNNNNNNNNNNNNNNNNNNNNNNNNNNNNNNNNNNNNNNNNNNNNNNNNNNNNNNNNNNNNNNNNNNNNNNNNNNNNNNNNNNNNNNNNNNNNNNNNNNNNNNNNNNNNNNNNNNNNNNNNNNNNNNNNNNNNNNNNNNNNNNNNNNNNNNNNNNNNNNNNNNNNNNNNNNNNNNNNNNNNNNNNNNNNNNNNNNNNNNNNNNNNNNNNNNNNNNNNNNNNNNNNNNNNNNNNNNNNNNNNNNNNNNNNNNNNNNNNNNNNNNNNNNNNNNNNNNNNNNNNNNNNNNNNNNNNNNNNNNNNNNNNNNNNNNNNNNNNNNNNNNNNNNNNNNNNNNNNNNNNNNNNNNNNNNNNNNNNNNNNNNNNNNNNNNNNNNNNNNNNNNNNNNNNNNNNNNNNNNNNNNNNNNNNNNNNNNNNNNNNNNNNNNNNNNNNNNNNNNNNNNNNNNNNNNNNNNNNNNNNNNNNNNNNNNNNNNNNNNNNNNNNNNNNNNNNNNNNNNNNNNNNNNNNNNNNNNNNNNNNNNNNNNNNNNNNNNNNNNNNNNNNNNNNNNNNNNNNNNNNNNNNNNNNNNNNNNNNNNNNNNNNNNNNNNNNNNNNNNNNNNNNNNNNNNNNNNNNNNNNNNNNNNNNNNNNNNNNNNNNNNNNNNNNNNNNNNNNNNNNNNNNNNNNNNNNNNNNNNNNNNNNNNNNNNNNNNNNNNNNNNNNNNAUUGAUAAAUAAAGUCAUUCUUUUGUCUUGAGCAUCAAAAACAAAUUGUGACAGUUCUCUAAAUUUUGGGAAAGAUAUUCAGAAGCAUAUAUCUACAUCACAAGAGAAAUUGUUAAUAAAAACAAAUGAAUUUAGACUACAAAUAAAUUUAGACUUACUUCUUAGAAUAGUGGUACCUCAUAUUCCGCUAAACUUCGAACUCCCUCAACUACCAUAAAUCACACAAAAAGUUUUGAAAUGCAAGAAUAAGAAAAGUAGAAGAUUAGAAAAAAUUGUGUUUGAAAAAUGAGAGGAUGCCCCUCUAUUUAUAGUCAACAAAGGGUAGUAUGAACAAAUUGUUUUUUGUGUCUUAUUUGAAAAGUCAUUAACUUUUCGAGAAGUCACAAUCCUUUGGAAAAGUCACAACUUAUUGAAAAAGUCACAACUCUUUAGGAAAAGUCACAACUUAUUGAAAAAGUCACAACUUAUCAAAAAAUUACAACCCUUCGAAAACGUCACAACUUAUUGUAAAAGUCACAACUAAUCGAAAAAAUCACAACAAGCCUUCAAAAAAAGUCACAACUUAUCAAAAAAGUCACAACUCAUCAAAAAAGUCACAACCUAAGUUAGGGAUAUUAUAGUAAUUUAACAUUCAAAUUAGGGGUUUAUGCUUUUAAGGUAAUAUAGAUAUGUGUGUUUUACCUUGUUGUGAUUGCUUAUAUAUAUUUCGCUUACUAAAAUAGCCGCGUGAUCCUACCAGUACACUGUGGUUGUGUAUUGAUAUUGCACUUGCUUGUUCUUUGUUGAGUAUAGAGCAUCUUCAGGCGGCUAUUGAUAAACCCCAACUAGGUGACUAUUGAGCGUGAACGGAUUCAAGGGUGAGCCAGUUCUUUCAGGUUGCCAUGGAUCUUUCUUGUUUAAGUCCACUCUUUUCGAACUCAGACUAUUUGUUUAAGGUGUUUGUUUAAUUUCGGGGUUGUACCAUUUUUCUUAGACUUUUUAGUUAAUCAGAGUUUUGGUACAAUGACUUUCAAGUUCUAGGGGUGGUUUUUCCGCAAUAGUUGUUAGUCGUUUAUUAAACUUCCGGAGUUUAUGGGAACUCCGUAUUUCUUAGGUCAUUUAAGCCUGUUUCCGUAUCUUUAAAUGCGUAGUAUCUUGGUUAAGGCUGCUUAGUUGGAUUGUAGUAAUGAUUCUCCCACCGAAGGGUUAGUGUGGGUGCCAAUCACAAUGGUUUGGGUCGUGACAUAUUUAAUUGGCCUUCAUCCUUGUCUUCAUAGAGAACUUAUAGCAUUUAAUCCUCGAGAUCCUCUCGCUGGUUAAAUUAUGAAAAUCCUUAUUAUAGUUGUAGGUUGGAAGAAUUGUGAAAAGGGUAAACCCUUUUUAAUCAUAUUGAAGUUGACAUGAUGAUAUAGAUUUGCUCAAGCAUGUCCUCGUAUCAAGAUGGAAGAGAUACCAAACUCUUCUUGACCAAUCAAAUUGAAACUCUCAUGACAAUAUUUGAUUAGCUAGAACGUGUCAUUUCUGCUAGCAUGAAACCUAUAUGAUUGGGUGAACUUUUGUUUACCAUAUUUUGGUUGCUAUAAUGAUAUUUGAUUAAAUGAAACAUGUCACUUGUGCUGGGAUGGAACAAUUGUGAUGAGAACAAUUUUUUUCGAUCGAUUAGACUAAAGUUGACAUGAUGAUAUUUGAUUGGUUUGAACAGGCUAAUUCUUUUGAGUGGGAAGAAUUGUGAUUAGGGUGAUCUUUUUCAACCAAUCAAAUUUUAGUUUACGUUUUUUAAUGUUUGAAAGAAGUCAAUUGUACACGAGGCAUGUUUUUAUAUGUGUUUGAUUUGACUACACAUGUUGUAUCACUUUCAACACGUGGCAUGAUCUUAUUGACCAUUUCACUUGGCUAACACAUUUUUCGACACAUCAUACCAAAUCGCGCAUAUUGUAUUAAUAUAUUUUAAAUUUGAUAUAAUCCAAAUUAAUUCUAAACCCUAAAAAGUAAAAUAAAUACAAGAACCUGAAAAAGCAGUAUAUAUACAACAUAUAUGCAUAUACUGGAAAUAAAUAUAGGGUUUCACUGACGGCAGAGUGAAAUGCCCUGUCAUAUCCAAAGAAAUAUAGUGAAUUCCAAUCAAGUUGAAAUGGAAUCAACUGAUUUGCAGAUUGUGAAUUCCGAUCAAAUUGAAAUGGCUAUCACUGAAAAUAACAACGGUUACGAGAGCGGAGAUGAUGAUAUCGAGUUGCAAAAGUUUCUCUUUUACUCAGCUCGAUUUCAUUCCGGUAAGAACUUGGAAUCAAGCUCUAAUAACGGUGUUGGUAAGAAACCUAUAGAAAUUGAGUAUUAUGUUAUUCUAGAUUCACUUAACCUAAAAUACUAUUACUGAAAAGGGGGAAUCUUCAUGUACUUUCUAUGAAAUCUGUACAAAUGUGUUUCCGCUGCCAAACACAAUGAUGUGGGGCACCAGUUGCAAUCAUCGUUACUGUGAAGAAUGCAUACAGAAUUAUAUAGGUAAAAAACUCAAUAAGGAUAUCCAUGAGGUUGCUAUAAAGUGUCCUGCUUCUGAUUGCGGGGAAAUUUUGGAUAUCGAUUCAAUAAUGCCGGUUGAUUUUCUUAUCCGAGUAAGAGAUGUCAAUCGACUAACAGAAGUUCUACCUUCGCCACUAAUUAUUGAUUGCCCUUUUAUGGAUUGUAUCGGUAAACUGAUUGAUGAUCAACGGGGAUAUCCAAUUAGGGCAUGUCCUGAAUGUUGGAAACUUUUCUGUGUCAAUUGUAAAUCUUUGCAUUUUGGAAUGACAUGUGAGAAUUAUCAGUUUAGUAGGCAAUUGAAUUUUUUCCACUGGCAGCAGCAAUAUGGAGGAUAUCGUGAUGAACUAGAUGAGGAGGAGGAGGAGGAAGGAGGAGGAGGAGGAGGAGGAGGAGGAGNNNNNNNNNNNNNNNNNNNNNNAGAAGAAACUUCAUGAUCAAAAACUUCGAUGAAUAUGAAAAAAGGUCAAGUUUUGCUUCAAGGAGAGGGAGAGGGAGAGGGAGAGGGAGAGGGAGAAGGAGAAGGAGAAUGAGGAGAAGAAGAAGAAACUUCAUGACCAAAAACUUCGAUGAAUAUGAAAAAAGGUCAAGUUUUCUUUCCUGAAGAAGAAGAAGAAGAAGGAGAAGGAGAAGAAACUUCAUGAUCAAAAACUUUGAUGAAUGUGAAAAAAGGUCAAGUUUUGUUUCCUUGGAGAUAAAAUAGCCUUUUGAAUCCUUAUUUACUUAAUAUGCAGAGUCUAUUAUUGGUUGAAAAAUAGUAUGCAGGAUCUUUUAUUUUAUCGUGAUGAACUAGAGGAGAAGGAGAAGGAGAAGGAGAAGGAGAAGAAACUUCAUGAUCAAAAACUUCGAUGAAUAUGAAAAAAGGUCAAGUUUUGUUUCCUUGGAGAUAAAAUAGCCAUUUGAAUCCUUAUUUACUUAAUAUGCAGAGUCUAUUAUUGGUUGUAAAACAGUAUGUAGGAUCUUUACUUCAUGAUCAAAAACUUCGAUGAAUAUGAAAAAAGGUCAAGUUUUGUUUCCUUGGAGAUAAAAUAGCCAUUUGAAUCCUUAUUUACUUAAUAUGCAGAGUUUGAAUCCUUAUUUACUUAAUAUGCAGAGUUUAUUAUUGGUUGUAAAACAGUAUGCAGGAUCUUUUAGAUCUUUACUUCAUGAUCAAAAACAUCGAUGAAUAUGAAAAAAGGUCAAGUUUUGUUUCCUUGGAGAUAAAAUAGCCAUUUGAAUCCUUAUUUACUUAAUAUGCAGAGUCUAUUAUUGGUUGUAAAACAGUAUGCAGGAUCUUUUAUUUUAUUGUGGAGAAGGAGAAGGAGAAGGAGAAACUUCAUGAUCAAAAACUUCGAUGAAUAUGAAAAAGGUCAAGUUUUGUUUCCUUGGAGAUAAAAUAGCCAUUUGAAUCCUUAUUUACCUAAUAUGCAGAGUCUAUUAUUGGUUGUAAAACAGUAUGCAGGAUCUUUUAUUUUAUCGUGAUAGGAGGAGGAGGAGGAGGAAGAAGAAGAAGCAGAAGGAAGAGGAGGAGGAUGAGGAGGAGGAGGAGGAGAAGAAGAAGAAACUUCAUGAUCAAAAACUUCGAUGAAUAUGAAAAAAGGUCAAGUUUUGUUUCCUUGGAGAUAAAAUAGCCAUUUGAAUCCUUAUUUACUUAAUAUGCAGAGUCUAUUAUUGGUUGAAAAACAGUAUGCAGGAUCUUUUAUUUUAUUUCAAUUAGUUGUUGAGUUGGUGAAAAAAAAAUAUGUUGGGUCUUUAUGUUUGAAUUAGUUGUUGAGUCUGUGUUGGAUGGGCUUCUACUUGUUGAGGCCUAUUGUCCAAUGUAAGUGUAGCUCAAAAUGUGCAAAAUCUUCUAUUUUGCGGAGAAAUUGUUCUAUUUUAUAUAGAGUCCAGGUUUGUAUGACCAACUAUCAGGCCCAUAUUUCUUUUAUUUUGAAUCACUUAGUUCAAAUUAUUUUUUACUACAUCAUUUAUAAGAAUAUAGUAUUCAAGAAUAAAAAAUGAUUUAAUUUGCUAGCGAAAAUUAGGAAGGAGGUUGUACGUAUUACCCCUAACAUAGGCUAAAAAAUUUCACAUCGGCAGAAAAUAAGAUGAAUGCUAAGUAUAUAAGUAAGUAGAUCUUAUACUUUAAUAAUGUGUUUUAAAGUUGUGUGAGUCUAGUCCCAAAUAGAACAAUAUCACUAGUGGAUUAGACUAUUACAUAUGGUAUUAGAGUCACUUCUGUGUCAGUUGAUGCGAGCUAAAGUUCAAUUGAGUUUCCAAAAAUUCCUAUAAGGUGGAGCAAACAUCUUUGCUAUGUCUAGGCAAAUCUCAUCUGAUGGGGAAAUUCUUAGGCAAAUUUUAUAUGGUUGGACAAACCUCAGCGAGUACGCUGAAUUCAUAAGAGAGGGUGUUUGUGUGGAAAAGAAGUCCACACCGGAAAAACACAUGAUAAGUAAGUAGAGUUUACACUUUAGUGACGCAUUUUAAAGUCGUGUGGGUUUAGGCUCAAAGCAGACAAUAUCAUUAGCAGUUUAGGUCAUUGUUUGGUGGGAAAAAGGCAAUGUAGAAUUAUAUAGAUAUCUUUUAUAUGAUGGGGUUUAUAAGUAAGCAGGCAUGACUCUCUAGUGACGUAUCCUAAAGCCUUGCAAGUCUAGACCUAGAUCAGACAAUAUCACUAGCCAGUUUUAUGGUGGAAAAAAGGCGGUCCAGAUAAUAAUUUAAGGGAUAGAAAAAUUAUAUUGGGGGAUUUAAUGGAAUCAAUUUGGGGGCAUGAUUCAGUUGUUUGCUCUUCUAGUUUUCAUUUCAAUUUCUCCUCUGUUAGUGAAAAUUAAAAUUGAAAGGAAAAAAUACAUUAUGACAGGUGAAGUUGGCAGGUGCUUAUUUGCUAAUUAAUUUGCUUUUCUAUUCCACACUUUGUCUUUUGAUUUUAUUUUCGUGAUUAAUAACUGAACAAUCGAACCAAAACCAAUAACCGACCCAUGAACACUCUUAUCUACAACUAUGCAUGAGCUCUUUUUGUACAGUUUAGUUGUUCUAUUAUAUUUCUUACCUCAGUUUGUAUUUGUGUUAUCAAUACUUUUAUCUGUUCAUAAAUCUCCUUGAAUAUAUUCCAAUUCAUGUGUGGUAUAUAUGUGGUUCUUAGAUUGUUUUUUGACAACUCCUUUCUAAACACUUUUAGCGUGUCUGCUUGCAAGUCAGUGUAGUGUCUGUGAAAUUCCCAUUUGAAUUUUCUGGUGACUAAUUAUGUGCCAUUUAAAGUCAGAGUAACUUAACUCUUCAAUUGGUAUACCAUUUCAUCAUCUUUAUCUUUGUAGAAUUUAAUUUUAUUCAAUACCAACUACAAUUAUUUUGGAGUCUAAUGGUCCCAAAUAUAUGUGUUUUCCUUCAUAUAUACUCAAUUUAUCAAUUUCAUGGAAAACACACAUUUUUUUCUCAACCAAUUGUCACACACUAAGUUCCCCACAAUUGCGACAUUUCACUUUCUACCAUAUUUAACUUUUAAAUCACCAAAUUCUUUAGCAAUUAGAUUUUCUCCCAAGAUACCAAAACCACUUUCCUAUGUUGGUCAGUGUUGCCCCAUAAGCUAGAAGGUAAAGGGAUUAUUUAUGGGGCAAUUCUGUUGCAUCACCAAAUGUGUUGAGUUUCACUUUGGUGAGGAUUAUGCAAGAGUCUAUAGUUGUCUAUUUUUUUUUGGUCAUGAUCAGAGUACACUUAAUCCAAUUCUUGUCUCACUCGAUGUUAGACUCCUAUAUUAGUUUAUACACAUUUUAAUUGUCAGAUCUACACAUACUUAGACGUUAAAUCUACACCAGUAGGUGACAUGACAACUUAUCUCAUUGUGUAUAUGAUUUCGAAAUCUUUGACUUCUAAGCUAGUUUUUGAGGUUAAAUUAUACGUAUGAUAUCUUUUUCUUAUCAAUGUCAUUCACCAUAUAUCCACUUUGUUAGAGCAAAAGAUGCAUAAAGAUGAAAGAAGCUUCUCCACAAAACCCAAAAGUUGAACCUCUACUUUAUUGAGCGCUUUAAUUUUGAAUGAAGAGUUAAUCAAUACUUAUUACGAAAGGCUAGAAGAUAAGAACAUUCAAAAUGGUAAAGGUAGAUCCUAUUAAAACAAAAUAAAGUUGUUCCCUUCUUUGUUUGUUUGAAACCAUUAUAUAUACCAACAAUCGGCAUAGUGAUGUUUAUGAUAAUGUUUUUUCUUAAAUAAUUGCAUUCAAAACACUAUGAGGGCCCUCACUUGACUCUUUAUUGCUUUUCAUUUUAAAGAACCAAUUUCAUUGAUGUCAUGUUCCACAAUUUAAGAUAUCAUGUUUCGAACUACUCUUCUUUUGAUCACCUUUUAUAUUUGAAGCCUACUCCAGUUGGAUCUUACUAUAUUUAAAGGAGAUGAGAACUUUAACUUAAUUGAUAAAGUUAUCUCUAUGUUAUCAAAAAGCCUCUUGUGAUUCAACCUUUUCACACACCCUAUAUACAGUAUAAGCUUAAUGCACCAGAUUGUCCUUUUUACUCUCCGGUGAAAUCAAAAAAUUCAAAAUUACAAUCCUAACAAUAUUCUUCUCUUGAAGCCCUUUAAUUAUUACUACUUCAUUUUUAAUUUUAAAAAAUCCCUCUAUUAAUUUAGAAGAUUUUUUUUGCCAAUAUCAUGUUUACUACUCCAAGAAGGUACAUAAUUACUAAUUACACUUUUAAAGAAAAUAUAAAAGGUAAUUUGGUUAAGUAGUCCCUGUGAGUAAUGGUCUAAAACUGUUUUUGAAUUGAUGUGUCAAACUAUAUAGGGAAAACAGUGAAACAAGAUCUCUGUUGGUAUCUAUCUAUCUCUUUUUCUUCUUAUUUUUUUUAUUAAUAAAUGGGAAUGAGACCAUGUCUCAUUGUCAUAGUUUACACCUCACGUGCUUUCUCUCACUUUGUGUUAAAAUAAAAAAUAAAAUAUCAUUCCCUAGUCCAUAGAAUUGAUAUAAUAUUACAUGCUAGUAUACAUAUAAAUUAAAUUAUUUACCUAUUGAGUGAAAUUAAAUUAUUUACCUAAUGAAGUAAGAAUUAAUUUCCACUUAAAAUAUUUUUAUUAUUCUUUGUCCAAGUAAGUUAUACUCUUUCCGUUUCAAUUUAUUUGAUCUAUUUUCCUUUUUAAUCUAUAAAAAGUUAUCCUUUUAUUUUUUUUUAAUAAUUCUUUUACUUUCAAUUUUGCACCUGAAGAAAUACGAAGAAGAAAGUGAGGAAGUAGCUAGCAACAGUCGGCAAGGCAUUCCUCGAUACAAAUACAAUACAUAUAUUUGUUAGUUCUUAUAAUAAGAAUUAUGGUUACACAGGUUACUGUAACACAAAAUAAUCAAAGUCUUAUUUAUAAUUGUAUAUUUUUUCUAAUACAUAAUAUAUUAUUUUCUUUUGGAGUAAUCAUAUAUCGAGCUUAAUAUAAAAGAUCUAAUUACUUUUAAACUCAACAACUUAUACCAUAAAAAAUGUAUGCUACCAAGUGCUAAGAAAUAAAUCUUAAUUUAUACAUAGGAAAGUUAUUUAAUCAAAUAACAAAAAAAAAAAAAAAGCUCUUGCCAAAAGAAUAAAUCUCAAUUAUAAUAAAAAAUCUCCCAAAAUUCUAAAUUAAUCUCAAGUGACUCUUUAGGUAAAUUAGAUGAGUGUAGAAGUAAAAAGAUAUUCAAAUGGGUGGAGUGAUUGAGGUUUAAGUUUGUGUAUUUGUAGGGAUGAAAGGAUAGUGUGUUUUUACUACACAAAAUAUAACGGCUUGAGAAUAUGACAGGUGAAAAGUACAUACUUAUAAUUAUUUAUCAUAUAUGGAGACUGGAGUAUAAUAAUAUAAUAAUAUAAUUAUAAGAUAAAUAUGACUCUAAUGAUGAAGAGAAGACAUGAAUUAUAAAUUGAAAGUUGAUAAUGCAUUUUCAGUUCUCUACUAUUUGUACACAAUACUAAUAGAGUAACUACAUGAAAACCCGUUAUUAAAUAGGAAAAAGGUGUAAAAAGGAUGACUUCUAUUAUUUACUAUUUAAUUAAUUAUUAUAUUUUAUAAUAUUUUAACUUAUAAGUAUAUCGGUAAAAUGGUAAUCCAACUUUGCACUUUGGAGCUUUCCACAUGAUAUGCUAUGAUUAUAAAUGAGAAGGGUCAAAAAUGCCCUCCAUUGAUAGUUUGGUACAUAAAUACCCUUGUUGUCAGCAUAAAUAAAUAAAGUUCUAAAUCAAAAGGAAAUUAUAUACUUAUCAAUAUCGAAAGGGAAGUUAUAGUUAACAUUUUGGAGUCAUGUGACAAAAUAAUAAAAAUUCUCCAAAUAAAUAUUUUUUUCUUUUAAACACAUUCUUUUUCUAAUGAUGAUUUUUUAUAAUUAGAAAAUUUUUAUAGUUAUCUAAAUGAAAAUUAAUGACGACCUUACUGAAUAAUUACUAUGGGGCAUUUUGAUAUCAAAUUUAAUUUUAAAUUAAAGAACCAUAUUCUUGUUUCUUUUCUUUUUAAAUCACUUUAACUAACAAAAUAAGUAAGACAAAAUCUUUUUUUCAUCUUAAUCUCAUUUUAACAAUUAAAAUAGAAUAACUACAUUUACUUUUUUAAUUGAUAUUAUAUGUCAUAUAUAAGAUCAUAGUCACGGUUUCGUUAAUUUUCAUUUAGAUAACGAAAAAAUAAUUUUAAUAAAAUAGAAAAUAUUUUUUGGGAUAAUGCAUACGGAGCUCCCUUAACUUAACUAGAAUCAUAUUAUCCCAUGAAAUAAUUUAAAAUGGAAUAAAUACACCCUAAAAGAUAAUGUGGCAUAAAGAGUGUGCACACUCUCUUGAAUGCAAGUGAUGAGUGAAAAAAUUGGGCACAUGUCUUUUGUUAAUUAGUAACAUUAUAAUUAGUUAGUACACAUAAUUAUUGAUAUUAAAACUAUAUAUAUAUAUAUAAUAUUUUCAUUUUUUUCUAUGUAAAAGAUUUAUUUUAAUUUCUUCCUCACUUUCAAACUUUUAUUUGUUUUUAUUUUUUUAAUUUCUUAUCUUCUCACUUUUAAUUAUUUAAAAGACUAUGUGUAUUUAUUUUAAAUAAUUAAAAAGUGUUCUUUAAUUUUAACGCUUUAAUUUUUUUAUGUUUUAUUUGAUUUGCUUCACUAUUUUGAUAUACAUUCGAAAUUAACUUAUUUUAAAUACAAGGCAUUUGAAAUAAAAUUUAAAAUCAAAUCAAAAGGAAAGACAAAGAAAAUAAAAAGAGUAAAUAAAAUCAAAAGAAAAAUGAAAGAGAGAAAGAUGAAUGAAGGUAAAAAAAAAAAAAAAGUUUAAAUACAAGGAAAUAAUAUUUUUUUAAAUACGUAUAUUAACUUAAUUUAAAUACAAGAUAAAGAAAAUAAGAAGAUUUUUUUGUAAAAAUAAAAUAAAAAUUAUUUGAAAAAUAUAUUUUCUGAUGUGGCAGGUGCAUGUGUACAAACACAACCAACUUACUUGGUUGAAGGUGUCACGUCAGCAUAAAAGGUGCACGAAAAUAUGAAAAAAAUGAGUUCGGGAGUAAUAGGACUCUAGUUAAGUAAGGUGUGACAUUGAGAUUUCGGUCAUACUUUAGAGGGUACUAUGCAUUAUCCCAAUAUUUUUAUUUCUUAAUCUUUCCGAAUUGAAGUAUGAUAAACAUUUUCUAAUUUAAAAAUUCACUAUUAGGAAAAUAUGUAUUUACAAAAAGAAAAAAGUAAUAUUUGUUUCACAAAGGGCAUUUUUGACCCAUUAAUUAACAAUAAAAAUAUUUUUGGACCAAACUAUUAACGUCAAGGGUAUUUUUGGACCGAACUAUCGACUGAGGCUGCAUUUAUUCAUUUCACUUGAGGGCAUUUUUGAACAUUUUUCGUAUUAUAAAUAAAAGUUAGAAUGUCUAAAACUCCUUAAACUUGACAACUGACUGAAAUUCUAAGAUAGUAGAGUUCUGACCAUGUUUUAUUUUUUUAUUUCCACUUUAGAUAUAAUGACUAUUUAUUUCAAUAUUAUUUUUUUAAUUUUUUGGGCUAAGCAGGUAACAAAGAAAGAGCUCUCUCUCUCUCUCUCUCUCAUUUGGCGACAUGGAGCUUUGAGUACUGCCAUGGCUGCGCCCUCCUCUCCCCAACCUCAAGUUGUGCGAGAGACGUUUUCUAAGAUCAAUUAUGCAUCUCUCCUUCAUGCUAAUUCUUCUUCUAAGCCCGUAACCAAAACAAUUUUAAAUCCAGUUGAGUUGGUCCAUGGCGAACCUACUAUCAAAUUUACUAUGAAUGAGGUUGCUUAAUUCAUAAGGGAAGAUGGAUUACACCAGGCGAUAGUAAUUAAAUUCUCCUAUGGUCAUCCUGAUUUGAAUGAUAUUCACACCUUAAUACCCAAGCAACUUGGCGUCAAAGGCAACUAUUUGGUAGGUUGGUUUGCCCAUAGACACUUCUACUUAUGUAUGUUAUUUGCAUUUCAAGAGUGAAGAAAUCUUAUAUUGGGUGUUUCCAUGGUCACAACGGUUCAACCUUAAGGAAGAAACCUCUAUAGCUUUGAUAUAGAUUUCUUUCCCAAGCCUUCCACCUAAUAUGUUUCCAAGAAAAGCUUUAUUAUCAAUUGCUUCAGUUGUUGGAAAACCCUUAGCAAUUGAUAAAGCGACAAAGAUUAGAUCGAGACCUAAUACGAAAAGAGUGAAGGAUUUGGUUGAUCUUCUUGAUAAGCAUCCAAAAAGAAUUAAGCUAUUUUAUUUGGAUAAGAAAACUGGGAAAGUAUUGGAACAAUACCAAGAAGUCAUGUAUGAUGUUCUUCCCUAUAUUGAACGAUUUGCAAACAUGAAGGACAUGAGGUGAGUUCUUGUCGUCAUUAACCCAAAUCUGAUUUUUCAAGGUCUUGCACUCUCUUGAGGCCAACAAUGUUGAGAAACUGAAAGGGGAUGUAAGAGUUUUCUUGAAUGCAAAGACAGAUGGAAAUUAUGAUGACCCUCUAGGUCAUUUCCAUGUUCAUGCCUUCUAUUAGUCGUUUAGAGCAUUCCUAUAGCGACCCCAUGUCAUUAUUGACUUGCUGGGACUGAUAGAUUGGUCACCUAAUCGUUCGUUUGGUUUUUAUGCGAGUAUUUGUGUUUAGAGCUUUUCAACCUUGAAUGGUUAUUUUUUAAAAUCAAACUUUCAAGAAGAUGAUCUCAGAAUCCAAUUCUGACGAUUUCAUCAGCUCUGGAAGGGUCAUUAUAGGCUAGUAGCAUGGUCGACACGAUUCUCCAGGCUUUCUGUGCGAGUUUGUGCAAUUAAGCGUUUUAACUUUCAAGUUAAGUCCUAAGUUUGAAUUUAGUCAACAUUUUGAGUAAACGAGCUCAAAUGAGAAUUAUGUCAGCAUGGUUAGCUCUAGAAUAUUGAGUUUGGUCUAGAACGACCCUUCGUUCGAAUCCCGAGUCUUCCAGCUAAUUCUGAGCCCCUUUGUAGAUUUGACUUAAAAUGGAGUUUGGAGGUGGGACUCACUUUUGUAGCGAGAUAACCUUGUAUGGGAAUUUUGACUACUCCAUUGAGUCAGGAGUAUCAAAUUUGAUUGGGUUGCAUAUAUUUUUUGCAUGCACGGGGUUCGAACGAAUUCAGAUCACUCCGUCAAAGAUUUGUGAACUUGCCAAACCAACUGAUGUGCAAAGCUGGUGCAAACCAAAAUGGCCUUCCUAGGCCCAGGGCCACGUUCUGGGAGGCCAGGUAGGCUGGUGGCCACAUUUGCAAGGCCCUCACCACGUUCAAGAGGCUCACAUUUGCUGGAUUUCCCUACCGCGAUCGCGGGGUUCGACUCCCUCUUGGCUGCGAUCACGGGGCCCUUAACGAGCUCACGAGGCCCGUGUUCUCUAGGACCCUCCACAUUUGCAAAGAGGAGACCAGACUGGUGUUUAUACCAGUCACGAUUUAACUUUAGCCUCAAGAUUCAAUUGGUGAUUUCUUGGUCGAUAUAGCUCGAAAUUGGGUAAUUUGAUGUCCCACGCAUCCGAAAUUAUCGAGGCUACCAUGUGGGGUGAUUGGAAAGUGUUUGGAUUCCUUUGUUAGAGGUGAUCUGUCAUUUAAAGUUGUUGUCCUAGCUCCUUUUGAGCUUUAAUUUAUGGAAUUAUGCAUGUUGUUUGUUGUGGCUGUUUUGAGUGCGAGAUUGUAUUCCUUUUUGGAACACAAGUUCAGAGCUGUAACAUCCGGCAAUUUGAAAUAGCUAUGAAGAAGCUUAGAAUUGGAAAUAGUCAUUUUUUGGAAAGAAUUCAAAAAUCUGGAAAUUUAGUCAAGUAUGGAAACAAAAUGAGUUUUUGGUCAACUUCAAACGGUCAUAACUCCUAGCUCAGGAUGAGUUAGGUGUAUUUCCAGUUAUGUUUGGAAAUCUGUUGCAAUCAUCUUUCCAAUGCCGCCGAGUUUGCACGAUUCCGAGUUCGUAUGAGUGAGUUAUGCCCUUUGAAAGUUGGGUUGUUGGGACAGGGCAGUUUAGUCCGAAUUUGUAAGGGUAUUUUGGUCUUUUCCCUAACCAUUUCUUUUGGUUAUAUUAAGGGUUUAGACUGAUUUUAAAUCAGUUUUCCUUUUAAAAGUGAGGGUUAGGGCUUUGAGAGAGAAGAGGAGAAGGAGAAGAAAAAGCAAGGUUCGUAGAGAUCGUCGUGGAUUUCGUCGGGGGUGAUCCCUUAUAAGGUAUGUGAGAUCAUAGUGUUGGGUUGGUUCAUUCCCCCACACGCCAAACUCAUUUAAUUCUGAGAAAAUAUUGGUUGUGUUUGUUGAAGUUGUGGUUGUGUUGUGGAAGUUUCUUGUUGGUUUGGUGCAUGUUUCCGGUUGUGAUUUCGAGUUGAAUCUAUUGUAUGUUAAGGGGUUUUAUUAUUCUAAGUGUUUGGGGCUGAAAUCUUUGAAGUUAAGGUAGUUUAGAGUUGGAAAAAUGAAGGAGAAAAGUCCGAUUUUUCUGGGAAAACACCCCAGCCAGCGCGCCCCAAAAGGGAUUCUGAGCUUUCCCCCUUGGGGUGGCGUGCCUUGCAGAGCACCCAGCAGGCCCCUCUGAAGUCUGAAGUCUGGCGCCCCGCGCCUCUCAGAGCGCCAACGACGCCAAUCUUCCUCAUUCCUUCCCCACUUUUUCAUGCAUGUUCCUUGGUAAUGUACCUAUGUUUCAUAGUUGUUUCCAACACUCCAAGGUACGUCUAAACGUCGAGAACUCAUCCAUAAACAUGAGAGCAUUACCCUUGAAUCCAUAAUCCAAUUCGAGGAAAGUUAGGAUCAAAGUCAAGUGAAGUUAGAGUCAAGCUUAAGAAGUUAAGAAGUAAGUCUAAAAGCAAGUCUUUAAAAGAUUUUCAAGAGUCUUUGUUAAACGUUUUAAACUUCGGUUUUAAGGCUGAAGUUUCAAGUUAAGUAAAGAGUAUAGAGUUUCAAGUUAAGUAAAGAGUAUAGAGUCAAGUUCAUUUCUCAAAAGUUAUUAGGGAACUAAGUAUUCCAAAAGAAGUUUAUAAAUGUUUUCACAUUUAAGAUGAGAGGAAACUGAGAUUUCCAAAAGAGUUUUGAGCAGUUUGAGUACUAUCUCUUUUAAGAAAAAGAAGAGUUUUGCGAAAGAGUUUCUAAAACAUGAUUAGUAUGACAACCGAGUAUGUCAUCAAUGCUUAAACAACAUGGUCUCUAGAUAUACCAUCAAUGUUUAAGCAGUAUGAAUAUCCCGAGUCAUCAAUGAUCAUAUUAAAAAAAAUAUGGUUUUGAUUUGUUCUUUUUAGAAAGAGUUUUCAAGAAAAAGGAACUAUGUUUCCAAAAGAGCCUUUGGGCUAGAUUUUGACUAAUUAUCUCAAUUAAAGAAAGAUGUGUUUAAAACACUUAUGAGCUAAAGUAUUUUGGGAGUAGUAUCGAGCACCGAAUUGGGGACGCGAGUUCAUAUUAACUCAACUCUCCAUAAGAACCAUGUAGCCAAACAUAGGAUUUCUCGGGUCAUACUUUUUAGAUGAUCACGUAAAGUUAAGCUAGUGGAUCCACUUAGUAAAGUUAGCUUCCUAUAUCACGGCAAGAUAUAGGAUGAUCCUCGAGCAACGUGAGGUAAAACGUUGUAUCACCACUUAGUUUCAUAGUGGUGGUUUGUCGGUUAGAAAAGCUCCCACAGUAGAAAGAGCAUGGUUCCUCGAGGGUUCUGCUUAGUAUGGAUGGGGGUAUGGGACUUCAUUCAUGCAUUGCACAAGUAGACUUUGAGAGGGAACGUGCUAUAUUUUUAUGAUAUUAUGACUAUGAUUUUGAUGUCAUGUUUUAAAUAGUUUUACAAGCUUUAUAUAUUGCAUGUGUCUUAUUGCUUUAUAUUGAGUUCAGUUACUCAUGAGUUGAAUAGAGCCAAGGUAAGUUCUAUUUUGUAUCCCUUUCAAGCUUAAGUUGUUGUUUAGCUGUCCAGUUCGCAUACUCGUACAUUCCAUGUACUGAUGCCAGUUGACCUGCAUCUUAUUAUAUACAGACGCAGGUACCCAGGAUCAGCAUCAAGCACGCCGUUGAUCCAGCUGAGCACUCCAGAGUCAGUGGUGAGCCUCCUUGUUUUCCAGAGGACUCUAUUAUUUUGUGUUCUUAGUUUUGUUUUGUUCGGAUGUUGCGAGGUCUGUCCCAACAUCCAUCUCAGUAUUUUAGAGGCUUCGUAGAUAGUCAGUCAGUUAGUAUUGAGUCUCUCAUCUAUGUAUAUAUAUAUAAAUAUUCUAUUUUGGGACUCGAGUUGCCUUUUUGGUCAGAUUUUAUCAGUUAGGUUGCUUUAUGACCUUUCAUUGCAUUAAGUCAUCCUAUUGAGUUAGGUUUCCACUGAGUUAAGAAAGCCAAGCCAAGGGUUCGUUUGGGGGCCAGCAAUGGUCUUCGAGUGCCGGCCACGUCCAGGGUGUAGGCUCGGGGCAUGACAAGAGCAUUGAUUAGGACCAUUCUAAGGAGUCAAUUCUAGAAAUUCUAUCGCGGGGUCUCACAAUUCCCAUUUGCAUUCAAAAUCGGUCCAUUUCUACUUUAUGUGUUUUUGGUGUCUAAACGAACGUAUUGACGUUAUGAUCCUAUUUUUGAUAGUGUGGCAGCGUUCAAAGGUCAUUCAGAAAGGAAAAACUCUAGCCUUGUGAUUUGGAGGGCGUGCGGUCAGUCUGUAGGCUACGAGUUCCUUCCUUUUUAGAUUGAGCUUGAAUGCGUAAAUGCAUGUUGAUUCGACAGAAUUGAGGGAAGGUACCUAGUUAUUCUUAUUUCUCUUCCUAGGUACAAAGUUUUAGGAUUGAUUGUUAUUGUUUCAGGUUUAGUACUAUACUUGUUGGGGUUUAUGUGUGUUGUUGCAUGUUGUUGUGUUUUAAUUGCGUUGUUUUAUUGGUAAUGAGCAUGUUUGGCCUUAGACAAGGAUUAGACUAGUGUUGCCUUAGACUUGUGAUCCUUGUAGCCUUGUUUCAUCUCCAACAUAAUUUUGGAUGGGCUAGAUCCUUGUGGACUGGAGUAGCAGACUUGAGUCUGAUAGUUUAAGCAUUGCUUUAGGCAAUUUCACAGCUUUAUAGAUCUUAUAUCCUCUCCCUCUAUUUCUACGGCCCAAAUGUGUUAUUGGUACUGAUAUUUAAGAUUCUAUAUGGAAUCAACACGCCCCCGGGUCACUCUUGCUAGCUGGGCGGUUUCUGGAAGUGUAAUGGUUGGCAGGGCGGCAUUGAUAUAUGAGACCCUCUUCAGAGUCGACAUGCCCCCGGGUCUGUAAUGCCUCAGAAUUCGAAAGAACUACAGAGAAGUUCGUCUGAGUCACCAUCAGUUUCUAGUUUUGGGUCAACUUCAGUUGACAAUAUCUUUUAGCACAUAAAGAAUUAGGCGACCUAUUAGCUAUCAAAUUGAAGGUCUUUGAGUCCUCUUUUCAACACCGCCAAGUUUGCUAAAUUUUGAGCUCGGAGUAAAAAGUUAUGCUCGUUUGAGUGAAACCUCUCUAUUUAAGAAAUUUCAUCCGUUUUAGAAAAAGGUAUUUUGGUCAUUUCCUUUUCCUACUAGGCUUAGCACGUUUUUUCUCAUCCAAUUAAGGGUCUAAUCAGAUGCUAAACCAUUCUUUGUCGUUCCUAAACACUUAGAAAAAUAAAAGAAGAGUUCAAGAGGACAAAGAGCUAGGUUUUGAGCGUUCAUCAAGAACCCGUCAAUUUUCGCCAAGAACAUUGUUCUUUCCAGGUAUGCAAGGUUUCCCAUAGUGAUGGACUUGUUAGUCCUCACACCAUGCAUCUAAUUUAUCCGCAAAAUCAUUGUAUCUAAAAGAUUGUUGCAUAGUUCUUUAUUUUGGUUCAAUUCUUUAACAAUGGAUGUUGUGAAUUCUUCUGUGUUGUGGAUCUUUGGUAAGAGUCAUGUUUCGAGGAGGUUUGUAUGAGAACUUCUAUGAAUUUGUGUUGGCUUUGAGAAUCAAAAAGAAUUUAGAAAGAAUCAUUCAAUUCUAAAUUACUUAGGACCCUGAAUUGAGAAGAAAAAAUAAUCAAUUUUCUGGGUAGGGGACUGGGGCGGCUCGCCACCCAUAGCGCUAGGACUUUGCUCUGUAGUUUAGGGGCUGACACCUCGCGCGAGCCAGUGCGCCAAGGGUCGCUUGGUCCUUUUUCUUUCUGUGCUUCUUUCCGAACGUGUUCCUUUAAAUCGUGACUAUGUUCUCCUCUACGUAUUAACUCCUAAAGGCUCCAUUAAUCCUUGAGAGAUCCUACAUGUCCUAAUAACAUAUCUUAAUUUACAUUCCAAACUAAAGUGAGUUUAAGAGAAAGUUCAAGAGCUUUCAUUGAGUUGAUUCAUUCAUAUCUAUAUUUCAGCAUGAACCCUAUCAUUUGAGUAUUCAUUGAGUUGUUGUUGAGAAUCUUUAAUCAAACAAUUAUCUUAAAUUGAUUUUCUGAGAAAUUAAAGAGGAGUUUUGAGGAAAGUUUAAAGAGACGAUUUAAGCAAGGAUGUUAAGGGAACUUUAAUGGUCCCGAAUGUAUCUUAAUAGAAAGAGAGGGAUACUCGCCUCUUUUCCAAGAAAGCCAUGGGAGUCAUAUACGUUUUAAAUGCAUAUUUUGAAAAGAGUCUUUUUAAAGAUUGAAUCAAUGGUUUGAUACGUACUAUUUGAUAGUUGAGAAUUAUAAAGAGUAUGAUUAACGUUUCUGAAAAGUAAUAGUCUCUUUCUUUGUAAAGGGUGAUUGAGUAAAAUGAAAGUUAAAGUAAAGUAAUAGUGUUUUUCUAUGUAAAGGGUGAAUUGAGCAUAAUUGAUAUAGAUUUUAUUUUUGGGAGUAGUAUCGAUCACCGAAUUGGGUAAGAGUCUUCUAUAGCUCAAAAGUCCCAUAAAACUACGUAGCCAGUGUAUGAUAGGAUAGCAUUGAUUCUUCAUGCGACUCCUCACUGCCUCUGAGAAAGCCUAUUAGAUGAAUCCAUACUUACAAUAUCAUCAUGUACCCCGGCAAAGUAUAGGAUAGCCCUUGCAACGUGGACAAAAUGUUGUAUCAUUGCUAGGCUCAUAGUGAUGGUUGUCGGUUAGAGAAAGUCCCCGCAAAGUAAAGUAUAUUAUUUUCAUAUUACUUUUAUUGCAUAUCUUAUUGUAAAGCUUAAAUGGUUUUUCACUUCAUGUUCAUGUAUUGAUUCAGUGAGUUGCGUUCAAUCAUUCAGUUAUUUGUUUAUUCAGCCAUAUUAUAUAUUCGUACAUUCAACGUAUUGACAAAAUAAACUUCUUAUGAUCCUCAACAAGAGUCCGUGGAGAUCACUUCGUCUACUCGCCAACUUUUGUGUAAGACCUUCUUGCCUUUAGAGGACUCCAGUUUUAUGAGUUGUUAGUAUUAGUAACAGUUUGAGUAGUCGUGGGUCUUAUCCCGACACUCGUCUAUAUACCGUAAAGGCUUCAUAAAUAGACAUUUUUGGAGAGUCUUUCAGUUUCAAAUGUUUUAUUUAAAACUUAUGUUUCAUACUCAGUGUAUUCAGUGAAGUUUUGAGAUUCAGUAAAAUAUUUUUAAACGUUUCUUUUCAUUUGAUGCUUAUGUAUGCUCAAGUUAGUCUUCCACUUGUAGUUAGCCAGGAUGUGGAUUCGCUUGGGACCAAUAAUGAUUUUUGAGUACCGGCCACAUCCAGGGUGUAGGCUCGGGUCGUGACAAACUUUGUAUCAGAUCCCCGAGUUCAAGAGUCCUAGGGUGUCUAUGAAGCCGUGUUAGUAGGAUCUUAUUUAUGGUUGUGAGGGACCCAUUUCUAUAAAUGAGGGACUACCGACAUUUAAGAAAAGUUUCCCUUCUUUCACACUCUAAAUCGUGCAAUAGCACUGUGUCAUAAAGAACUUAUUCAAACUCUUGUGUUUCUCAGAUUCAUUCAACUACCCCUAAUACUCAAGGUAGUUUAAAGGCAAGGCCCAAAUCCUUAUCGAUGAGUUACUCUCAGCAAAAGUCUUGAGAAAGUCAUGAGACUAUAAAGGGGCUUGAGAAAAGCAUGUGGGUGAGCUUAAUUGUUCAGAUUUGAAAGAAUGCACUCUUAUUCAUAUAAACCGUGUGUUCAAGCUAAAAGCGAGAUGUACUCCAAGACUCUCUUCUCUAAACCUUGUUUUAGUUAAGACUUUUAAGAGGAAGUGUGUUUUAGAGUUUGGGUAGUAUUUUCACCAAAAAAGAUUGUAUGAGUUACGAUGUUAUAAGAAGUAGUAAUAAAAGUGCCUAGAGUUAGAAGAAAGUGUGCAAAGGUAUAGUAAUCUAAGAAAAAAAGAUACUGAUGAGGGCCGUGGAUACAGGUCAAGCAGGCUAUGAUAAAAUGGUGGAAAGCUAAGGUGAAUAAUAGACAAAAGCUAAACUUCCAAGCAAUUCCUACCCUUAUUUUAUGGUUCUUAUGGAAGAGGAGAAACUCAGUAGUACAUGGAAGUUCUUAUACUACAGGAAAUGUGAUUUGGGAUAUCAAUGAUAUGGUAAGAAAGAUUAUCAUAAAUGAGUUUGGGUAUGAUCAAAUCCCAACGAAUUGGCCUCAAGUUGUUGCUUUGAUAGAUGGAUUCAGACCCAAAUUUAAAGCUAAAUGGGUCAGAUGGUAUCCUCCUCCUUGUGGGUGGUGGAAAUGCAACACUAAUGGAGCUUCCAGAGGUAACCCAGGACCAAGCUCUGCUGCCUUUUGUGUAAGGAACCAUGAAGGAUAUCUACUAUGUGCUAAAGGAAUUACAAUUCCCGAUUCUUAUAGUUUGGUGGCUGAGGUGAUUGCUAUAAGAAUCGGAUUGCAAUUUUGUUUGGAAAAUCAAAUUCCAAACAUAAUUGUUGAAUCUGAUUCUCUUGCUAUAGUGAAUAUUAUCAAUGGUGUGUGGAAAAUUCUUUGGAGGGUGACAGUGGAGGUUAAUUCCAUUCGAAAGAUGAUGAACUCUUGGCCAGUAAGAGUACAACACUCCUUAAGGGAGGGAAAUACUCUUGCUGACUUUUUAGCUAAUCUGGUUUUUCAUUUUGCAGGUAAUUUUGAUUUUUGAACAUUUCAAGAGCUACCAAGCACUGGCAGGAAAAUCUUUAACUUGGACAAACAGAGUACUCCUCAAAUGAGAGUAAAACAGUGUCAAUAAGGUCAAUAUGGAGAUGUCUUUGACAUCAAAUCACAACGUUGUUCUGUUUAAUGCUAGAUGAUACAUGUAAUGAACGAUAUAAUAUUGUCUGAACUAAGUUUUGUUGGUUAUACAUAUCAUGCACCUGGUGAGAGAUUUAGGUGUCACAACUGAUAUAAAACCAGGGCACAUGUAUUUUCGUAUUCUAGAAUCAUCUACAUAGAUUACAACAGUUCAAGCACAAGAGGGUAUUUUGAUAUCCAUCACAGGAGGGUUGUAAGCUUUUACCUGAACUUUCAAGUGAUGAAUGCCCAUAUCAGAAUGGUGAAGUUGUACAUUAGCAUUCAAGCAGAGGUACCUGCUACAUCAAACAACAAUAGUUAGCUAAUUUUCUAAGAUUUAAGGUUAAAGUGGUGGUAUUAAUCCCAUUUGGGGUUCAACCCACGAAAAUCUAAAUCUAUGAAUAGUUAGUUGACUUAAUUUGUGAGAUGAGAAAGGUUAUAUUUAAUCGAUUAACAAAUGAACAAGACUUAAACAGAUAAAAUCAAUCAAACUUAUGAUUGAAGAGAAAUCGAAUUUCCAAAAAAUAGAGUCGCCACUUAAUUUUUUAAAAACUUACAGUUUUCAAAAGACUUAAACAGAUAAAAUCAAUUAAAAAAAGGGUUCGAGUUCAAUGUACAUUCCGAGAAGGUGUUAGGCCCUCAAAAUGUCCGCUAACUUGCGGUUGACCGGCGAUUUGACUAAAAUGACUAAUUUAAUUUAUUUAUUUAUUUUUAUUUUUUUAGAAAAUUAAUUAAGUAAGAAAACUCUUCUUUUUUUUAAUUUGGAAAUAGAUAAACCUAAAAUAGAUUUCUUUUUGAGAAAAAUAAUUCAUGUGUUGCAAACUUGCAAUACUACUAAAUAAAAUAAAACUAAGUGAUAAAUAAAAAUAUAAAUAUUUUAAUUUAAACAUAAAGAAAAGAAGAAAUGACUUUCCUUUUGGUAAUUUAAUUAAGUAAAAACCAAUUCAAAUAUAAUGUUAGUUAAUACAAUAAAUAAAUAGACAAAAUAAAAGAAGAAAUAUUGAACUUGGGCCAUUUUGCCCAAAUUCCCAAUUCUGAUGGGCUCAAAUCCUGUCCUAAUACUAAAAUUAUCAAAGUCAUGGGUUUUGGCCCACUUAAAUUAGAAUCAACUGCUAUCCAUUGGGCUUUUAAGCCCAAUCUCUCCUGGACCUGUUGUGCCAAACAAAAUUGGGCUUUGGCCCAUUUUCACCUCCUUUUCAAAUUCUGUGUAUAUAUCGAACGUAUAUGGCUGUAUACGACGCGUAUUUUGGCACCAUUUCAUGUAUAUUGGGCUGUAUAUCGAAAGUAUAUAACCUACUUCAACUUUUACAACCCGUACUUAUGUUUUUGGCCACGUAUUUGCUGCACUCAACUUGUAUAACAGUGUAUACUGCUGUAUAUAGCAGGUAUAAUGUCCGUUUUCGAACUUUUCGGAGCCUGUUUCAGCUUCUCCUUCACCGCAAAUAUGAGAAUGACUCAAAACGACUCAAGAAUAUGCAAGAGUAGAGUCCAAAAUGAACUUGGAUGGAAUUUCACAUGCAAAACAUAAAGUAAAAUAAAGAGAUUAGCAUUAAAGGAAUGAAAUGAAGUGAUGAAAAUACUAACACCUACCAGGCUACCACGCAUUAUUAAUAAAACAACACUUGAACAGUAAUUUGAAGGGAAAUUGAUGAAGACUUAUUAUUCUUAUAUUUUGAAUAAUAAACAGUGAAGGGACCACAAGAAGCAGAGGAAACAAAACUCCUAAGUGUAACAUACAUAAAGAUACUUUGAACAAAAUUGUAAGGAAAAGCGAAAGAAUCACAUUGUGGACUAAAAAAUAUUUUUUGUUGACAAACCCAAUUCUUUUAACCUUUGUAGGAGCGAAUAAAGAAGGAAAUAAAGAGAAUGAAAUCGAAACUUAAAGCUACUGAAAUUAAUCUAAACAUAAAAAUUUCAGCAUGUAUGAGCCACUUUGAAAGAACACGGCCUAAGUCAUCUACAGCCCCUCAAAGUUGUCCGCAUAAUUCAUUUAGACACCUCAACUAAGACUUGUACCUAUUGAACACCUCUACCCCUUAAAAUUUGAACCAUUUGAACAUUUUUUUGACAAUAAGCUAAAUGUAUAAAGUGUGUGAAAUACAUUCGCGAUGACAUGGCAAUUUGACGAAUUAAAUACUGACAUCUGGUAUUUUUUAGUCCAAAAAAUUAUUUUAAAAUAUAUUAUAAAGUAAAAGAAAAGAAAAUUAUUUUUAAGUUGAAAUUAAAAAAAUCAUGUAAAUCCUAUAACUUACCUACCCUUCUAUUCCAUCGGAGUCCAAAACUCCUCUCCCUCUACGGCGCCCCACCCCCAAUGGCAAUCCACCUCAAUAAAUAUGUUAUUUUCGAACCUUCUUCAAGCAAAAGGAUGAAGAUUUAUUGCUAUUUUUGAUGAGUUGCGGAAGAGUUGGCCAUAGGUAAAAAUAAAUAAAUUUAACUACCUUCUUCGUUCCAUUUUUGAUGGAAAGAUGAAUUUCGUCGGAAAAUUAAUCAUUCUGAUGGACAUUGUCGAAAAAAUAGAGUUAUGUCGGAUUUUUUUUGAGUUCUAUAGCUGAUUAUUUUUUUCGAUUGAAAAACACCCUUACAUUCGCACAAAUAUAUAUAUCAAUUCUCACAAAAAUGUGAACAAAGCAAAAAAAUAAAUAGGAAAAUACUUUAACAAAAUUCACACAAAUCUACAUCAAUUUAACACCAAAACACUACAUUAACAACAAAGAAAAAAAUUCCAAACUUCAAGCCCUCCACAAAUUCAAUGGAGAUAAUGAUGGCGGCCACCAUGGCGGCAAUGAAGGUACCGUAUGAUGGCAAUGGAGAAACAAAAAGCGGUGAUGGAGGUAGAAGUGAAGUAUCCGGAGAAAAAACGAGGAAGAAGAUGGAUGUAUAAUGGUGGCAAUGACUGAUGUGGUGGAGGAAGUGAUCGGCAGAGGGGAGGAAGAAGAAAGAACAUUUUUUUCCAAAAAAAGGCUAACUAAAGACCUCUCACGCGCCUCUUUAGGGUGAAUCACAAACAAUGUGCCAUGUAGGCAAAAAAUGUUCAGAUGAUUCAAAUUCGAGAGGGUACAGGUGUUCAAUAGGUACAAAUCUUAGUUGAGGUAUCUAAGUGAAUUAUGCGGACAACUUUAAGGGGCCGGCGAUGACUUAAGCCAAAGAACACUAAGACAAGACUUCAUGCAUUUAAACACACAGUGACCAAGACUAUUUGCACAUAACUUAAGUGAAUAGCAGUCAAGUGUCAAGUUUUAUAGUCAUAGUCGUGUGAAAUGCAAACUAAUAAGCCUUUAAUAAGUUUAUCACAAGAUUAAAUGCACAACUGAGCAGGCAACAGAAGAAUGGCUAAGAUAACGAGGUUGACUCGAACAAAUCAACACAAACUUAUAUCGACCGAUAAGAAUGAGAAUUAACUAACUUAAACUCGAAAAAUAAGUGCCAAAAAAAAUUAGUGGAGUGAUUCUUUUGACACGCUAAAAAAAACUCAACAAAACAUGAAUACCAUUUCCACAAAUAGAGACAAAAUAACAUUCUGAUGAUUAACUAGUGAACAAGCUAACAUUUGAGGCAAGCACCACAGUCACGAGCUCAAGAGAACUAACAACAGAUAAAACGGAUUCAAACAGACAUUAAAUCACCUCGAAAACGAAAUACACACUACCAGUUUCAGAGAGAAAUAAGGCGAGAGCUAAAUAUAUCACUUAGACUACAACAUAUCAAGUAAAAGCAUCUCGAAAGCCCACAUAAAAAACAUAAUUCAAAUCCAAGCGUCUACUGGAAACUGAAUGAAUAAAAGAGCUGAGAGUUAUUUACCUCUUGAUGAGCAGCGACUGAGACAACAACGAACCAAGCAGAGACUUCCACACUUCCGACGAGAGCUUUCGACAAAAGAACACUGGAAAUUUAAAACAAAAGUUCGAUAUCAAAAAUCUUUAACCCCGUAAAAAUAGAAAUCAGCAACUCUUCUCAUGAAUUUAUAUCACUGUAUUAUUCUUCUAUUCCUCCCCUUUUUAACCCAUAUUUUCCAUUUCUUUUCGCCAGCCCUUAACAAAGAAGAAGAAGAGGGAACUAUUUAUAGACGAAAUUAGGGCUGAAAAAUGGGGGAAAUUGGGAUGGAUUCGGAUGCCAUUCGAAAUUCGAAUUUCAAAUUCCUUAAGAGAUAAGGUGUCAGCUGUCCAUUGUACUAAUUCCCAACGGAAUAAUAAUCGCAGCCGUUGAUCUUGAGCGAAGGACGAUCGAUGCAAGGAGAUCGAGACACCUAGCUACUCGAGAACAUUCUUGUACGAAAAUGAUAAGGAGAGAGGAGAGAGCCACGCGGCUGGAUCAACUUGGGUCGCCUGGUACGCUGGACUGGGUUCUGGGUUUCUUCGCGUCGAGGAAGAAGAAAGUGUACAGGGGUCGCAGGUCUGUUUUGAAUUGUUGUACGUAUUGUUAUUGUUGUAUUGAAUUGUUGGGUUAAUUUUGGUGGGCUGCUGAUUGCAAAAAGAAGUGGGUUGGGUUAUUUGUUGAAUUGGAAAUUGAGAAGAUGGGCUGCUGAAAAGGAAUAAGGCCCAAAACUUAGAUGGAUUAAGGAUAAAAUUUAGGGAAAAUUAGCUAUAUAGUCAUAAUUCCUAACAUAUUUAGUCAAGACAACAACACUUUAAAAUAUUUAUUUAAAAUGACAGAAUGUCAAUAUUUUCAAAAAUAAUUUGUAUUCACAUUAUAUUAUUUAUAUUUCCUUUUAUUAAUCAAAAGAGUCCAUAAUUGGAUCAAAUUCUAACCAAUAACAGAUUAAAAACAAAUACAAAACUAUCCAUUAAUAUCUUCCCACAUCUUAGACGUUUCCCACUUUCACGUUUCUCAAUUAAAGUUUUUAUUUUCCCCCAAUUUUCACAUUCUAAGAUUCUCUUUCUUCAACUUUUUUGCUCACAUUGAAACGCAAGGUAUUCAAAGCUCGAUUCUUCAACAAAAUCGGUGGAUUAAUUCAAGGGAUUAAUCGGUUGGUAAACAAAAUCUAGAGAUUAAUUCAAGAAAUUUUGAAUUUGGUAAAGGUAAUAUCGAUUAGUUAUUUAGGUUUCUUUUGAUUUGUUUUCAAUAUCACCGUCUAUGAUUUUAUUUAGAAUUGUACAUAUUACGGAUUUUCAGUUAAUUUUUUUGUUUUUUAUUCAAGUUUGUUUACAUAUUCAUCUAAUAUCUAUAUAUUUCAGAUUUUUAGUCGUUUAAACAAAAAAAAUCAAUUUUUUUCUAAUUUCGUUUUAAUAUUUUAGAAAUUCCUCCAAGAUGUGAUUACUAACAUAUGAAUGGUGGUCAGAAUCUCUUCAUGGUAUUGGCACUAAUGGAUCUGGGAUCAAUUUCAAUGGCCUCAUUAAAGGUGCCACAAGUUUCCCCAAGUUAUUCUUACGGCAAUUGCUUUCAAUAGAACUUUGUGGCAUUGGUUUGAAUCGGCUAUUGCAGUUGAGGCAAAGGCUAUGUACAAUACGAGAUUCAUUCCAAUAUGAAUGCUAAAUUGUAUGUCAAAUUGAUCUGUAGUUCUUGAAGAAUCAUAUUUGUAUUCAUUUAUUUUUUUCACAACGUAAUGUAUUUUUUUCAGAAUUUUUUUUUUUCACAGCGUAAUGUAUUUUUUUCAGAAUUUUAUAUCCUUUCCUAAAUUGUAUUCAUUCCAAUAUGUAUGAUAUGUGUAUUUGUAUUCAUUAUAAUUUUCAUGUUUGGGUUUGUAUAAUGUCAUUUGUAUUUCUUUAUUAGUUUGUAUUCAUUCUAAUAAGUAUGCCAAAUGAAAUACAAAUUAUUAAAAUUUCGUUGACAAACAACUUUGGAAGAAGAAUUCCCAACUCAAACUUCGAUAUAAUCGGUGUUCUCCAAAACUGAAACUUUCUUUUUUUAUUAUGUUUUCAUCAUAAUUGUAUACCAACAACUUUUGCAUUUUAUGUGCUCACUUUACCAUUCAAAUUAAAACUUAAAACUGAUAUUUUACUUUCAUAGUGAAAAUUAAAAAUUGUAUCCGAGUGAUCAAAAAUGUAUUACAUAACUGCCAAAUAUAUUUUUCUUUUAUUUAUUACAAAAAUGUUACUGAUUGUAUCCCAAUAUAAUCUAAUCAUUACAUAUAAAUACAAAUUAAGAAAGGAUACAAACUUAUUUGUAUUCAUUUUGCGUUUGAAAUACAAAAUGAUAUUGAAAUACGUAAUUAUUUUUGGAAUACAAACUGAGCUAAAAAAAAUAGUUACUACAAUUCUAAAGUGAAAUACUAAUAAAAUAACAAAACUGGAUAUUGUAAUAUAAAUACAAUUUUUUUUAAUACAACUUAUUCUAUGUUUUUCGAAAACAAUAUUUUCAGUGAAAUAAUAAUAAUAUAACAAACUGGAAUAUAAAUACAUUUUAGUUUGAAUACAACUUAAUUGUAUCCAGCAAUCACUACUAGUCAACAAAAAUAUGUAUACAACCACUAAUUAGUUGAUGUUUUUUACUCCAUAGUUGUACGCUGUCCAAAAUUGUUAUACUUGUAUCCCUAUAUUACAGAACAUCCGUAAAAAGCUAUAAAUCCCAAUACAUACAAAGAUUUCACUGAUUUAAUCAGGAAAAAAAAACAACAAUUAUACUCGACAUAUGCGAAUAUCUCAUCCAAACAAGAAAAAGAAUCAAAAAAAAAUACUUGAUUGUUUUUCGAUUGUUCACUAGAUGCGACAAAUUUAUAGACCUCAAUUUUGAAAAAAAUUGUUUAAAAAAAUAUGUCGUAUUCAACUUGAAGAAUCUUUGAAAGUUAUAAGAUGAAUGAUUCGGAAGACAAACUAAAUUAUUUAAAAAAAUUAAAAAUUGAUGUUCUUCAGAAGAAAGAAAAAAAAGCCUCGACAGGAAGAAGGAGAUUUAUAAUUUUUUCAAAAGGUAACUGAUUUGUAUUUAAAACCUUUUUACCUUUUUGAAUUUUUCGUUCCAUGAUUUUCUCUUUUCUGUUAUUAAUUUUUGUAUUCUUUCAAAUUAAUAAAAAUAAAUACAUAACUAAUCCAUUAACAAACUAAAAUAAUGACAUUUUUUAAAUAAAUAAUGAAAUUGUUGCUAAGGAGUCCCACUAAAAGAUAAAAUAUUGUUGUUUUGAAAAUUUUCCCUAAAAUUUAAUUUAUUAGAAUUUGAAUUUAAGCUUUAACCAUAUGAAUUUAAAUUAUAGCCAAUUAGAGAUUUAAAAGGUAGUCAAACUUAGUUAAUUAGGAUAAAUUCAACUAAUAAUUAAAUAAGAUGAAUUAAUAUAAUUAAUUUACGAGCUUCUUAAUCUUUAACGAAAUAAAAAUAAUUAACUUACUUAUGAAAUAAUUAAUUCGAAUAUAUAAACUAAUAUCAAAUGAGCUAAUUAACAAAGCACUUAAAAAGUAAACUCUUUUUUAAAUGAUUUUCUUUUUAAUGUUCGUAAAAUGUAAUAAUCAUAUACAAAACUUUAUAAAAAUAUAUAUAUUGUUUUAAAAUUAUAAAAAUGACUAAGAUUGCUUCAAAACUAAAAAUAAAUAUUAUUUCUUUUUUUUGAAUUUUUGUAAAACUAAUUAUUCCAAGUCAUUGAAAAUUAAGAAGCUUGAAAGCUAAUUCUUAUCGGGGAGGGUCAAAAUUGGGUGUCAACAUUUGUGUAGACUUCAAGAUAGAAGGUAUAGUAAUAGUUACUAGUUAAGACGAGUUAAGAGUAUACUUUAAUCUGAAGGGAGUUUAUGUCAAGGUUAUUGUGUUAGUGAAGGCCAAGUAUAUGUGUGGAAUAAAAGAGUAGAAUAUUCAUGAGGUGAUAGGUCUAAGCUAGGCUUAUGAUUUUAGGGAGAGUCAUGAUGUUCAGAGGGAUAUAGAACUAAUUUGGCAAUGAUGUAUAGUGAAUGGGUAAAUAUUAGUUAAGUUGUGAAAGGAAGUGUAACAGUAAAAUUGUAAGUAUGUAGAAUUCAGAGAUAAAGAUUGACGACUUGUCAUGAGAUCUUAGUGGGCGAGUGUUUCUUAAAUUUUUCUAUUAGUCAUAAGUUAUUAUAAUAUGUGAGAAAUUAUAUUUAUAUAUGUGUUUAGUACUAGACAUUAAGCUUGAAGUUGAGAUGAGUUUCAUGAUAAAAAGGAUGGCAACAUGAUGGUGAUGAUGUUAGUUUUAAGAUCUAAUCUAGUAGCUAGUUUGACAUGGAGUUGGAGAGGAAUUAAGGUGUUAGUUGUGAUGCAUGUGUUGUUCAAGUGUGAUGUUAUUACCCUUAGAUGAUAUAAAUGAAGUAUGACUAAGUCAUUAGAUUAGCAAGAGCAUUAAGAGGUGUACCCGAGAUCGUAUGUAGCCAGACGAGAUCCCAAUUAAGGUUAUGAUUUUUCAUGCGUGCCUAGAGAGUAUAUUUGAGCUGUCAACAUGGAAUAGGCUAAUGCAAGAAUUAUAUUUCCUUAGGAGUUAGAUGAAGUGACCUUAUGAACCAAUGAGAAGAGGUUAAGAGAAGUAUCUUAGAAAGAGGUCUUAGAAGGAAUCUAUGGUACCUGCAUAUGGAGAGUUCAGCAGCCAUGAGAUAAGCCUUUCCCAAGUAUUAUAGUAAAGAAAAUGUAGAACAGUUUGGAGAUGAUGAAAUAGAUCCAUAACUUUAAAGUGUCAGCUCCACAUCUAAUGGGGAGAUGAUAAGAUGAUAAACCAAGUCAAGUGUUGAGAAUCAGAUAGUAAUGUGUUUAAGAAGAGUUAAAGUGGUAUAUCAAUCCAUUCAUCCUCUAGCGUAUUCCUCAAAGUUCAGUCAUUGCAACAUCUUGUUGAUGUUUCUAAUACCAUAAUUGUGUCUAUUACCUAUGCUUAUACACUUAAGAGAGAUUCACAUCUAUGCUCAGUUUCGAGAAUGAGGGGCAAAGACUUUAGACCAUUGAUCUCAAUCUUACUCCAUAAAGUUAUGGAUAUCAGCCUCAUGAUAUGAACCUAUUCAUAUAAGCACUCAUGUCUCAUAGUAUGUCCAGUCUCACAAAUUCAUUAUUUGAUCUUAAUGUCUAGCAAAAUAAUGUUAUUUCAUGCAUAUUUUUAUAUCAAAACUCUCAAAUGAAUCGUGCUUAGUUUUGAGAGUGGUGUUGUUGAUAGCAACUAUGUGAUGAUAGAGAAGAGGAUAUUAUUGUGAUAGUGAUGGUGUGUUUAUUUCAUUUAAGAUUAUAAAUGUGGAGGAAAACAGAGAUAAAGUUUGAGGAUAAGUAAUAAGUCAGUUUCCUGGUAGUAAUGCAUGAAAUUUUUGUUGGUAGAAGUGACGAGAGAAUGAGGAAUUCUUAAGGACGUCUUAAUAGGAGUCCAUGGAGUGGCUAUAGUACUAGGCUUGAAUGUGGUGUUAGUAUCAUGUGGAUGAAUGCAUGAUGGAUUAGGUGGUUCUUGAUUAAGACAACAAGUUGGUUGAAUGUGGUGGUAAGGAGUAAUAUUCUUGAGAUGAGAUUUCCUAUAGAGGCAUAGAACCUGCAUCUUAUGAUUUAGAUUAGAAUAAUCACCUUAUGUUAAGUACUUUGUGAUUUCAAGUUAGGCUUAGAUAUAGUAAGAGCAUACGAUUAGACUCAGACCUUGGUAAGAGUAGUCAUAUAUACCCUUACGGGAGCUAUGAGUGGCAGCCAAUGAGGUGUGCUAAUAAGGAAAUAGAGCAUAGUUGAGAAGUGUUUCACAUCUUCAAAGCUAUCAGUCACAUCACUCAAGACAUAAUAUUUCUAGUCUUACUUCGUGCCCAUAUAUCCUUGCCUUAUGUCAAAUAACUUCAGAUAGAGCGUGACUAUGUUAAAGCUAUCAGUCAUAUCACUCAAGGCAUAAUAUUUCUAGUCUUACUUCGUGCCCAUAUAUCCUUGCCUUAUGUCAAAUAGCUUCAGAUAGAGCGUGACUGUGUUCAAACUCAUAUCGUUCUUGACUUAUGUGCUAUAGACAGUUCCAAGCUCAUUAAAUAACUUAGUUCCGUCUAUGUUAAUAGGCAAGUUCAAAAGUAAAAAAGAUAGUAAGAGUAACUCCUUUCCUUGCCAUUCUUAGUCUAGCCAUCAUUCGAGAACGAAUGUUCCCAAGGAGGAGAUAUUGUAACGCCUCAGAUUUCGAAAAAGCUAAAGAGAAGUUCGUAUGAGUCACCAUCAGUUUCUAGUUUUGGGUCAAAUUAAAUCGACCAUAUAUUUUAGCACAUAAAUAAAUAGGUGUCCCAUGAGAUAUCAAAUUGAAGGUCUUUGAGUCAUCUUUUCAAUGCCACCAAGUUUGCUAAAUUUCAAGCUUGGAGUAAAAAGUUGUGCCCAUGUGAGUGAAGCCUCUCUAUUUAAGGCAUUUCAUCCAUUUUAGAAAAGGGUAUUUUGGUCUUUUUCUUUUCCCAUUAGGCUUAGCACGUUUUUCCUCACCCAAUUAAGGGUCUAAUCAGAUGCUAAAUCAUUCCUUUUCGUUCCUAAAUACUUAGAAAAAUAAGAGAAGAGUUGAAGAGGAUAAAGAGCUAGGUUUUGAGCGUUCGUCAAGAUCCCGUCGAUUUUCAGCAAGAAUAUUGUUCUUUCUAGGUAUGUAAGGCUUCCCACAGUGAUGGACUUGUUUGUCCUCACGUCAUAUAUCUAAUUUAUCCGCAAAAUCAUUGUAUCUAAAGGAUAAUUGCAUAGUUCUUGAUUUCGGUUCAAUUCUUUAACAAUGGAGAUUGUGAAUCCUUUUGUGUUGUGAAUCUUUGGUAAGAGUCAUGCUUCGAGGAGGUUUGUAUGAGAAAUUCUAUGAAUUUGUGUUGGGUUGGAGAAUCAAGAAGUGUUUAGGAGUAAUUGUUCGAUUCUAAACUAGUUAUGACCCUAAAUUGAGAAGAAAAAUUCAUUGGGUUUCUGUUUAAGGGCCUGGGGUGGCGCGCCACCUAUAGCGCCAGAACUUUUGCUCUGUAGUUUGGGGCAUGGCGCCCCACGCCAGCCAGUGCGCCAGGUUCUUUUUCUUUCUGUGCUUCUUUCUGAAUAUGUUCUUUUGAAUCGUGACUAUGUUCUCCUCUUUGUAUUAGAUCCUAAAGGCUCCAUUAAUCCUUGAGAGAUCCUACAUGUCCUAAUCUCAUGUAUUUAUUUACAUUCCAGACUAAAGUGAGUUUAAGAGAAAAAAUCAAGAGCUUUCAUUGAGUUGAUUCGUUCAUGUCUAUAUUUCAGCAUGAACCCUAUCAUUUGAGUAUUCAUUGAGUUGUUGUUGAGAAUAUUUUAAUCGAACAAUUAUCUUAAAUUGAUUUUCUGAGAAAGUAAAGAGGAGUUUUGAGGAAAGUUUAAGAGACGAUUUGAGCAAGGGUCAAGGGAACUUUAAUGGUCCUGAAUGUAUCAUAUACAUUUUAAAUGCAUAUUUUGAAAAGAAUCUUUUUAAAGAUUGAAUCAAAUGGUUUCAUAUGUACUUUUUGACAAUUGAGAAAUAUAAAGAGUGUGAUUAAUGUUUCUAAAAAGUAAUAGUCCCUUUCUUUGUAAAGGGUAAUUGAGCAAAGUGAAAAGUAAAGUAAAGUAAUAGUCUCUUACUUGGUAAAUGGUGAAUUGAGCAUAAUUGAUAUUGAUUAUUUUUUGGAGUAGUAUCGAGCAUCGAAUUGGGUUAAAGUCUUUUAUUGCUAGAAAGUCCCAUAAAACUAUGUAACCAGCGUAGGAUAGUAUAUCAUUGAUUCUUCAUGUGACUCUUCACUGCCUCCGAGAAGGCCUAUUAGAUGGAUCCAUAGUUACAAUAUCAUCAUGUGCCCCAGCAAAGUAUUGGAUGGCCCUUGCAACGUGGGUGAAACGUUGUAUCAUUGCUAGGCUCAUAGUGAUGGUUGUCGGUUAGAGAAACUCCCCACAAAGUAAAGUAUAUUAUUUUCAUAUUUCUUUUUAUUGCAUGUCUUAUUGUAAAACUUAAAUGGUUUUUCACUUCAUGUUCAUGUAUUGAUUCAGUGAGUUGCGUUCAAUCAUUUAGUUCAAUUAUUUAUUUAUUCAACCAUAUUAUAUACUCAUACAUUCAAUGUAUUGACGCCAUUCGACCUACAUUUUUUAAUGAUGCAGAUGUAGGUUCUUUAGAUCCUCAACAAGAGUCCUUUGAGAUCACUUUGUCUGCUUGCCAACUUUUGAGUAAGACCUCCUUGGUUUCAGAGGACUCUACUUUUAUGAGUUGUUAGUAAUAGUAACAUUUUGAGUAGUCGUGGGUGUUGUCUUGACACUCAUCUAUAUGCAGUAGAGGCUUCAUAGAUAGACAAUUUUGGAGAGACUUUCAAUUUCAUAUGUUUUAUUUAAAGCUUAUGUUUCAUACUCAGUAUAUUCAAUAAAGUUUUGAGAUGCAAUAAACUAUUUUUAAACGUUUCUUUCAAUUUGAUGCUUAUGUAUGCUCAAGUUAGUCUUCCGCUUGUAGUUAGCCAGGAUGAGGGUUUGCUUGGGGACCAACAAUGGUUCUCGAGUGCUGGCCACAUCCAGGGUGUAGGUUCGGGUCAUGACAGGUCACUCUUGAUAGCCGGGUUGGGAGUGGACUGGCUGGCUAGGCGGAUUAGAUUGAUUUUCACCCUUGCUAGCAGGGCUAGGAGUUGACUCGAUUACUAGAUAUUGUGGUUACUUGGGGUGGGAGCCCAACUUUAUCUUCGUGGUACUCUUGUUUCAGUAGACCUAGCUAUUAUGUGUACUUGUCGAGCUUAUGGAGGUCCAUUCGGGUUUAUUUAAACGUGCGCACGAAUGUACCUUCUUGGUUUAUGGGGUCCAUUUAGGUUUAAUUUAGUUGUACUUAGAUUUACUUUUGGUAUGCUCGUUUGCUUUCUUUCAUAUCUGAUUUGUCCUUUGUUUGUGUCUAGAUUAUACCUUUCUUACUGUCUUUAUUUUUCUUGCCCAGUCGACCUAUGAUGUCUACUGAGUAUCGUUGUUUUGGUACUCAUGCUACACUCUGCAUCGGUUUAGUGAUGCAUGUCCUAGUACCAACUACCGAAAAUGACUAUUUUUUCCAUCUUCAACAACUUUUGAGAUCGGAGACGUGGGUGAGCACUUGGCGUCCUGGAUCAGCCUAUCUCCUUCUGUAUAUAGGUUUAGCUAGUCUUUUGCCUUUGAGAUGGCUUUAUUCUUGUGGUCCACUUUUUGGGACUUGUACUUUCAUUUUAGACAGCUCUGUACUUGUGACUUUUAUGUUCUAAGAGGGAUUCUCUUGUAUAUAGAUUUUUGCUUGCUUCCGCUUCUGUCUUGUCUUAUUUCAUUGUUUAGUUCUACCCUUACACUCAUUACUUGUCGUUUCGAGAACGAGUUGGCUUACCUACUGUGGGUUAUUGUAGGUAUCAUCAUGACUCAAGGGAUCGGGUCAUUACAAAAAUCAAAUGGCUGAAGCAUCUUCCACAAAGGAAUUAGCUUCAACUGAUUUAAAUGCUUGCAAGGUUAUGGAAAAUGCGACAUAUGCAGUUCAUAAUAGUUCUAUUAAUUUGAUCGAUGAGUCGAUUGUCGAAUUGGGGCAACAACUAUCUCAAAACAGAGGUGUUACUAGUGAGAAAUCCAAUUUAGCUACUGUUGUAGCGUUAAAACCAGUGGCUGGUAAAUUGCCAAAGGUGAAAGAGACAUCAAUAGUUGAUUCGGGGCAGAAACUAAUUGCUACAGGUGAUGGUGAAGCUACUGAAAAUUUUGGGUUGUAUAAGGCCAAUUUUUUUAGACGGGUCAAUGAUGAACAUGGGUGGCUAACAACUGAUAAAUAUACUGAUUUGCAAGCUGAAGAGCGCAGCCAUGAAGAAGAUAAUGAAGCUGAAAAUUAGAUUUUGGUUGUACAUAAAAAUUCAGCUGGUAGUCAUAUACAUUCCCCGACUAGUCGAAGUAUGUUAUGAACCAAGUCCAGCCCAAUGUAGAUACUAAUGUCAUACAAGUUGUUAUUGGGCUGACAAGAGCUAUUGGGCCGAGAACGGGGAAUAGGGUCAAGUUAAUUUGGGAUCCGGGUUGAGUAGUGGGCAUGAAACGGUUCCAUAAAAAAGGGUAGUGAUAUGUGAGUUAGGGAUUAUGCAAAUUGUGGAGAAAAAUGUCUAGUCCUCUCAUCCCCUUUCUUUGAGUCUUUGCUUCUCAUCCCUUUCCUUCUACUGGUGUUCUUUAAUUUCCAUCUAGUUCUUAAAUUCCUUUGUAAUUCCAAUUACGAGUUAGUGAAAUAGAUUUGUCGGGUUGUUUGAAUUUGAUUGUGUUGGCCUUGUUAUUGGGUUUGCUACAUUGGUGCUUUCAUUGAUUUGUCUACCAUGGUGGACACUUCGCUCACCUCCCUUAAUGCAUCUAUUUGUGCAUUCCGCCAACAAUUUGAUUUCCUGCAGUCAUCCCAUUCAAUUCCUCGUCGUAUACCGGAUUCAGUUUUCCUUCCACGAUUUAGUGGUGAUAAUCCGGCAGUCUGGGUUCUUCAGGCAGAGAAGUAUUUCGCAUUCCACAAUAUUUUAUCAGAGCAUAAACUGUCAUUGGCUUCAUUUUAUUUUGAUGGUGAUGCUUUAGAAUGGUAUCGAUGGUUAUUUCGCAACAAACAACUCGCUGGUUGGGAUCAUUUUGUGGACAAAGUGUUGAUUCGUUUUCGCUCCCGUACUAGAGACACCUAUAGCAAGUUUGUAUCCAUUCCCAAGCAAUAUGAGGCAGCGGAGAAUUAUAUAACUAACUCAUACUCGCCUCAAUACUUGAAUGAACGCUCAGAUCGCAACAAACCAAGCCUAGUACACACAUUGUUCAAGGAGAUGUCGGAUGGGGAAACUAACUGCUUUAGAGAUGAAACUAUGGUGUUACCAAAGACCCAGAUGUCAUCUUUCUGAACAGGACAACAUCUCGGUUUCACUAGAAAUUUCGUAUGAUCUCCUUGCUGAAAACUCUGAGGUAGACCACAUGUUCGAUAAAAUGCCCGAGAAGUGUAAUGAAGUGGAUUCCUUGGACAAUACCUCUGUUGGAAGUAAUAUUGAUACUUUUGAUUAUAUGGACAGUAGACCGAUUUCUUCAAUACCUAGUCUGUAUGAUCAAAUGGUGUCGAAUCCAAAUUUAUCUAAUAACCCUACUAAAGAUGAAGCACUUGGAUUUCCAAACAAACCCCUCUCCGAACUGUCUCAGUAUGAUAAUGACCAAUCAAGUCGAGAAGGAGGACAGAAUGUUCGUCCAAUAUCCUAUGAAACACCUCCACCACAAGAGUACCCCACUAAUCUGUUCUUGUCUGCUUUCAGUGCGCACACUGAUCAUUCCAUGAACACUUUUUUCAUGCGUGAAGUUGUUGAUAAUGCUAAGCUCGUGGAAGCAAUCACCGCUGCAAAGUAUAGAAAUGUGGUAGUUGUUGGGGAAGAGUACAACAAUUGUGAGCUUCUUGAUGACUUGGGACUGUUUGCAAUGGACGAGGAAACUAUCAAAUAUUUCAACAUGAGUACAGCAAGGGUGUUCGACAACAAUCUUUGGUCGUCGUGUGUCAUUGGUUGUGGCCACAAGGUCGCAAGAUCGUUAAUUGGAGAUCCAAAUUUUAGUUGGACUGUUAUUUUUAAGGAAUUUGUAUUGAAGGACGUAGAUGAAACAGAAGAUAACACAUCUCCUUUCUUCACUAAUAUCUAUUUGCUUGCAGAUGAUAUUCCCACAUCUGGUUCUACCAUUGGCUGGAAUGCUAGACUGGCACGGUUGACGGUUGGAAUGGUUGUUCAUUCAGCACACAGACACAAACCGCAGGAUAGCAAGCUAGUGCACAAUGGGAAUAACUCUGAAAUGUUGGAGUUAAUGAUAGAUUCUGAGUCCGAGCACAAUCACACCCAUAAAAACUUUUAUAUUCUUAAUUAUACCCUUGCUCCGAAUGCUUCAAGCAACAAUUUACGUUUACUUGAUGUACAUACAUGCCCGGUGCUAGUGCUCAUCAACUCUAAAUGUGGAGGUCAACUUGGAGGAGAACUUCUUCGUACAUUUCGUCAUCUUCUUAACAAAUAUAAAGUUUUUGAUUUGGGAGACGAAGCUCCUGAUAGUGUUUUACGUAGACUGUAUUUGACUAUAGAAAGGCUCAAGGGUAAUGGUGAUCGAUUUUCCGCCGAAAUUGACGAGAGAAUGAGAAUUAUUGUUGCAGUUGGAGAUGGCACAGCUGGUUGGCUUCUCGGAGUUGUAUGUGAUCUCACACUAUCUCAGCAGCCUCCAAUUGCAACAGUACCUUUGGAAACUGGAAAAGAGAUCUUGUUUCUAGAAAAUUGGUUUCCGAUAACUGAUGCGGUGGGAAUACAUCUUAAUUUCAAUCUUGAUAGUGGAAUAUGUUGCAGAGACAUCUACCACUUUAGAUGUGUUAUGAUUCUGGUUAAAGUUGGACAAGUUAUUACAGAGGAAAUAGGAGUAAUGCCAAUUUCCUUACUACUCUUGGAAGACAGCAUAGAGUUGCACUUUGCAUCAGAUCAUUUUCUUUGGUUUUUAUUGCUGGAUGGAAAAGUUUUGUCCAACUUCACACUUGAGACAUUGCAGCAAGUGGAAGUUGCUACUCUUCAGAUAAUUGAGAAAGUUGUGGAUAGAUUUCAUGACUUGAACCUUGAGGACAAGGUUCUUAAUUGGGAUGGGUGAAUUGUUAUGAACCGAGUCCAGCCCAAUGUAGAUACUAAUGUCAUACAAGUUGUUAUUGGGCUGACGAGCUAUUGGGCCGAGAACGAGGAAUAGGGUCAAGUUAAUUUGGGAUCUGGGUUGAGUAGUGGGCAUGAAACGGUUCCAUCAAAAAGGGUAGUGAUAUGUGAGUUAGGGAUUAUGCAAAUUGUGGAGAAAAAUGUCUAGUCCUCUCAUCCCCUUUCUUUGAGUCUUUGCUUCUCAUCCCUUUCCUUCUACUGGUGUUCUUUAAUUUCCAUCUAGUUCUUAAAUUCCUUUGUAAUUCCAAUUACGAGUUAGUGAAAUAGAUUUGUCGGGUUGUUUGAAUUUGAUUGUGUUGGCCUUGUUAUUGGGUUUGCUACAAAGUAAUUCUCAAAGACGUGAUAAGGGUGAUAUUGGAAACUUUCAGUUGAGUGUCGGUCCUAAUUUAAAUUUACCAACUCAGAAUGCUUUUGAACCAUUGUUGGUAACUGGUAAAAAGCAACUGGACCAAUGUAAGGACAUGAUUAUUAAUAUUGCAGCCCAUAGUAAUCAAAUACUACAAAUUGAGCAGUCACAUGGUGAGGUUUCGUCCAAGUCCAAGACAUGAGCAGAACCUGAAGAUGAAAAAUAUCAAAAUGAUGGUAGCGAAAGAGAAAGCUUACAGGAGAUUAGCGCACCAACUUCAGACAAUAAUCUCAACCAUAAUGCACCUCUUUUUGUGCCUUAGAGUAGUGAAAAAAUUACAACUCUGAUGGACACUACAAUUGGUAGCAAUCAACACCAUAAAGGGUAUAGGGUUUAGGGUUUAACAACUUUAACUCUCCAAAAGUCUAAAACUUCCAAAAAUCACAAUUUUACAAUCAAAUUUCGAAACCAACUUUGUAAACUGGUCAAACAAGACUCGGGGCAGCUAUCGGGAGGAGUAAAAUGGUAAUUUUUCGAAAAUUUCCAAAAAUGACCUUCAGGGUCAUUACAAACCCCCCAUCACCAUGGGUGGUGAAAGUCUGUCAUGCAUGUUGCCAGGUCAGGUUGGAUAUUCAUAAGACACACUCAUGUCAAUAAAAGGUGUAUAUGUGGUCACUAGAAUAGUUAAUAUGUCUAUAUGACAAUUCAUCUGCAAUUUUCUUUUUUGGGGGGCAUCUAUGGCCUAUGGAUUAGCAAAUGGAAAAUGUGAUUAUAUUUCAAAAUGAUAUUUAAAAAUGGCAAAGUUAUCUUGCCAUUCAUCUGCAAUUUGUUCUUUUGCGAAUCUCUUUCUCAGGCAGAGGAAACAUGUGCCCUACAAAGGCAGUGUCACCGGUUCUGUUCUCAAAAUACCAUCUUCUUCUUCUCAGUUUGCACUACCAACAAGACAGUAGACUGUAAGAUUGAAAAAAUAUUUGUGUAUUCAUAGUCCAAAACUUUUGUCAUUUACUUUUGACAUUUUCCCUAUAAUUUAUGGGACUAACUCUAGUACCUUGCUCAACAGUUAACUCUAAAUGUUUUGACAACUCUCUAAGAAACUGAACUCCCUUCUUGUUACAAACCUCACCACGAAUACACCUUUAACACAGCUAGAGAUUAUUACAAUUUAAUAAUAAUUAUAUUACAGACUCAAUAACAACAAUCCUAAACACUAGUUUUAGGCCUAGCUUGUUUCUUUAAUCUACUCCUUGUCAUAUAUUGCCUUUGAGAAAGCUUCAGCUAUUGAGUGCAAUAGUUGCCUCUCUCUUUUUACCUUGUAUAGAUAUAAGUCUUGACUAUGACCUUUUUUUUAUCAUAGACAACAAUAAGAGAACCAAGUUUCCAAAAAAUAGUCUUGGCUAUUGUCGUUUACCGAUUCCCCCCAUUCCCAAGAUCCACACAAUCCGAACAUCAUCAAUUUCAAUCUGUAGUAGGGAUUCUGCUUUCUCUAACUGAGUAGCUAUUCCCACAACUUUGUGCAAAUAAGAUAGUGAAGUCAUGCAUUUGGACAAAAUUGUAUCAAAAAUACGCUCAAUACAGUCUGAUUCAAUCCUACAAAAAAAUUCUAAUAUAUACAAUUUAAAAAGUCAAGAAUAGACGAGAGGGAGUUGCUCGGAUGGUAAGCACCCCUCACUUCCAACCUGAAGGUUACGAGUUCGAGUCACCAAGGGAGCAAAGGGGUGGGAGCUCCUAGGGAGGGUUAAAAAAAAAGUCAAGAAUGAAAACUAAGAAGUAGUAUUUCACAUUGUAGAAUCCACAAUUAUGAUUAAAAGGACUAUGCACAUAAAUCAGACUAUUUUCAGAAAAUUAAGUUAUUUAAGAUUCUGUUUGACUCAUUUUUGAGGUAGAGAAUCUUUGUUUGAUAAAGUAAUAUAUAAUAAUGUGUAGAUUGUCUUAAAAAUUAUUCCUUUCGUCUAACUCACAAUACAUAUCCUUUCUGAUUUGUGGCAGCAGUUAGGGAAGUCCUCCAUACUUGCACCUUCUGCGUGCAUCCUAUCAGGCCAUCACCACAAUUUUUUUGGCAAAUGCUUCUGCAAAGCUCCCCUUUGGUUUCGAACAUCUGUUGCAUCAACAUCAUAGAAGACUGGUAAGACUAUUUGUCCAUUUUCGUCCUUUUGGCAUUCCAUGUGUUCACUAGUUCAUACAAGCACCACUUCAAUGUGGCAUAAUUCUUUGAGAAAAUGACAAGGGCAACUUGAGAGUCUCAAUAGCUUUCAAGAGUUCUUCUGGGAUCAAAUCAUCAUGCUCUAGCCUUUUAUAAUCUCUAAAGGUGAUUAUUCCCCUCCUUGUAAAAAGUUCAUACAAGUAGCCCGUAAUUGUUGUAUGAGUAUCUUCAUCUCUAAAACUUAAGAAGAGAUUGUACUUUCAUCGAGGACAGUAUUGUGAAAAUUUUGUUUGAACUGUAUUAGAAGAUCCACAAACAAAUAUGUGCUACAAACAGACGAAGCUGGAGAGAAAAAGUACCCACUAAUUUCUUUAUCAUCGACAACACGUUGAUAAACAAGCAAUCAAAAACAGUGCUAACCAUAUAUGAGAAGAGCUUAAGUAAUUAAAAUUAUUAAAACAGAGAUCAAUUAAUGCAGCUGAAGAGACUAACCACUCUCCCAAGAAUAUAAGAAUGUUUCGUAGAAGAGGAGCAAUUCGCGUCAAGCUCAGGAUCAUCUUUAUACAACAAACGUAAUCCAUACUUGUUCAUUUCUCCAGAGAAACAUAAUGUAAUAAGCCCAUAGUCAUUUGGUGUUUUCCCAUUUGCCUUACAUGUAUCCCAUAAGCCAGCAAAAGGUACCAAGAAAAAAUAAAUUUUAGAAUUCCAAUCUGAAUGGUUGGAUAAGGCAAGCUUCCGGGUGAUACCCGAGGUCCCAUCAUCACAUAAGGAAAUCAACUGAGCUGUCAUGUCAAUUAAUUCACCACUGUAACAUACAGCAAAUCCCAAGAAGUUAUCACGAACGUACCAGUUUUCAGGCAAAUUGACUGAUACGCUUUUAUCAAAUCCUCGAUGGUGGAACCAACUAGGGAUAUUCUCCUCCCAACUAAUGAACGCUCUUAAUGACAAGGAAUCUGAAGCAGAGAUGUCAUGCUGCUGCAAUGAUGAGAUAUUCUGAAACAACGAAUUACAGAUUGAAUCAUUGCUCCAAUAUGCAUCUAUUUUAUCUAACUGCUCCGGAAAUUCUGGCAACUGAGUAAGCCUCUUGCAAUAUGAUAAGUACAAGGCUUCAAGAGCACCAAGUUGGGCUAUGCUUCGAGGCAAAUGCUCAAAAUUGUUUUUACUGAGAUCCAACUUUUUCAAAGACGAUAAGCAUCCAAUGUCUUCUGGAAGUCCUCCAUCUAUUAAAUUGCAUGAACUGAGAUUCAGAAUUUCCAAUGAGCGUAACCCUUCAUUCACCUGAGGGAACACAAAGUACACUCCAUCUUCUAAACAUUGUCCUGCAAAAUUCAAGAAUUUAAGUUUGUUCAAGCGGACGAUGGAAGAUGGAGGUUUUGAAAUUCUAGUGCAGCUCGCAUCAAGAUUCACCAAGUUCUCUAAAUCACCUAUCUCUUCUGGCAAGCUUUCAAGUUUUAAGCACCAUGACACAUCUAGCUUCACCAAACCUUUCAACAUGCCAAUGCUGCUCGGAAGAGCUAUAAGUUUUUUCAUGCCCGCCAAAUCUAGCUCCGUAAAAGGAGCUUCAAGGUUUUUCAUGCCUAGCAAAUGUUUCUUGGUAAUAUGAGUUAGAUACUGAAUAGAUGAGGGCAGUUCCCUUAUACCAGUGCCUUCUACCUUAAUCUCUAACUCCAACUUCAUUCUCCCAAAGAAAUUUGGAAAUUUAUCUAAUUUUAAGCAGCCCUCUAGAUCCAGAUGUUCAAGAGACUCCACAUUAACACAUGGAAACCUCUCAAGGCUUUUACAACGAUACAAACUUAACUUAUUGAGUUUUUUGCAAUUUCCCAGUGAAGGAUGCACCUUUUUAAGACUCCUACAUCUCUUCAGAUUCAAACACUCCAAAUUUGGCAUCCCCGUGAAAUUUGGUGUUUGCAUCAGCCUAUCAGAGAAGCUGAGAUCUAGCCAUCGUAGACACGGCAAAAGCUCCUAUCAGAACAUAGAAAGAAAUUGUUUAAUUUUCAUUUAUAUAAAUGUUCAGAAACUAAAUAAAGGUGUUUAUGAAACUAAUAUCUUAAUUUCAUUUAAUCACAAACAUUAUAAUUCAAGGACAAACCAAAUAGAAAGUAUCUCAAAUAAAGCGGUACCUUUCUUUUUGUCCAUAAAUCAUGCAACAAACUCCACCCGAGAUAGAGAUGAACAAGCCUUUGGGGUUUAAAAUUGUCUGGCAAUGACACCCAAGGAUAUUGCUCCCAGUAAACCCAUUGCAAGUUGUUGGACAGAAACUCAAUGGAGCCGUUGAGAAUGUAUUUCGAAUCAAUGGAAGAAUGGGGCGAAGAGAAACGGUUUAGCCUACCAUCAGCUAUGCAUAAUAUCCUAAGCCUUUUCAUAUUUUUCAUCGCCUCUUUAUUAAAGCAUAUUUGUUCAAAGCAAGUAAACCAAAUUGCUUCUAUUGUCAUGGUUCCCUAGUAAAAAGAUCAUAAAUUAACAAAUCAUAACUUCAAAUGUUGUGUACAAUAAACUUACCGAUAUCACUAUUUGCAUAAGGCUAUAUAUAAGGCGAUAAACACAUGAUAGUUCAGAUAAGAAUCUCACAAAAGUGCCGCACUUCAAGUUAUCUUGUAAAAUGAAAAAGUACUAAUAACUGUCAUCUUGUAAAAUGACAAUAUCAUACAAAUUUCAAGUUAAUUCAAUGAUUUGAAAGCUUGAUAAGCAUACUAAAUGGCUACUAGACUAAAUAAUGGCUUAAUAACAUAAGACAAAUUUAUUUCAAUAUAUGAAAACUGGAAAUUGAAUAAUGUUGCGCUGUUUAACCUACUUACUGUCUUGUUGGCCAUAACUUCUUUGAAAUCUUCAGUGUGCCAUAUUCUGCUAGGUUCUCCCGAUUUUUUUUGCAUUUUCACCACGUAUUUACCCAUCUCUUGUAUUAAGUCAUGCAUUUCAAUAGUAUUAUUUAUAGAGAUGAACACAAGAGAUUUGUCCAUUAAGAUACGCAAUCCGAUAUUUGCUCCAGAAUAACAGCUCUCAAGAAUUUGCAUGGUAUAAUCUUUAUCUUUCCCUCGAAAGAAGCAUGAUAUAUCCAGAAAUAUAUCUUGUUGUAUGAUAUUCAAUCUAUCAUAGCUAAUUCUAAGCUUUUCAACAAUUUCUGAAUUACAGUUAUUUUUCAUUUCCUCGAUAGCACUUCUCCACUCGGUUAUGUCCCUCUUAUGUAAUAAAGAACCCCACACUUUCAAGGCUAAAGGAAGGCCUCUAGCAUGAUGUACAACCUCCAUUGAGAGCUUCUCAAAACAUUUGUUUGGAACUUCUUCUUUGAUGAAAGCAUAUUGAUUGAACAAUUUAAUAGCUUGAUGGUCCGCUAGUGUAGUCAUUUCAUAUACUACAUCAUUCGUCUCAAUCAAAUGCUUAUCUCUAGUUGUUACAAUAAUUCUACUCCCAUCACCAUACCAAUCAAGAUUUCCUACUAGGUAAUCCAAAUGGUCUCUGUGAUCUAUGUCAUCAAGCACAACUAAAACCUUCUUAAAACGAAGUCUACGAGCUAUCAUGUGCUUUCCGUCCUCCUUAUUAUUCACAUAAUUAUCUUUUUUCCUUAAUAGUUCUGAGAGAAGGAUAUUUUGCAAAGAAUGCAUUCCACAUUUGUUUUCUUUAAUAUCCGCAAUGAAACUAGCAUCUGCAAAUUGACACGAGAGUGUGUCAAAAAUUGCCCUUGCUACUGUCGUUUUACCAAUUCCCCCCAUGCCCCAGAUCCCCACAAUUCGAACAUCAUUGAUUCCAAGCUUUAGUUGGCAUUUUACUUCCUCUAAGUGAGUAUCUAUUCCCACAAUAUUUUGCAAAUAAGCUACUGAAGUCUUGCAUAAUUUGGACGAAAUUUGGUUAACAAUUUGUUGAAUGUUCUCUGAUUCAACCCUACAUAAAUAAGAACAUUAAUUGUGGAUAAGCAUAAUAAAGUAAUGUAUUAUAAGUAUUUCAUACUAUUAGUGCUGAGAAAUACUUUUCAUGUGGGGGAGCUGGUUUAAUAAAUAAGCACCAUUCAGAUGUUUGAGUUGAAGUGCUAAAAUUGAAAAUAAAGUGAUUAUAUAUUAAAUUUUAAAAAAAAGUGUCUAUAAACAUUUUUUUCAUAAAAAAAUAAAGGACUUAAAUAAGCAUUUCUAACGUCUAAACUACACUUUUUUUUUAACUCACCCUUGGCGGAUGUCAUAUCCUUCUAGAUCUGCGGCAGCAGUUAAGGCAAUCCUCCAACUUUGCACCUUCUCCAUUCCCUCGACAUCAUCCUUAUACUUCGAUUCAUGUUUGGCAAAUGCUUUUGCAAAGCUCUCUCUUUGGUGACGAACAUGUGCUGGAUCCACAUUAUAGAAUAUCGGUAUGACUAUUUGUCUAUUUUCUUCCUUCUUGCAUUCCAUAAUUUUCACUAGUUCAUUCAAGCACCACCUCGAUGUAGCAUAAUUCUCUGAAAAAACUACAAGGGCAACUUGAGACUCUUCGAUAGCUUUCAAGAGUUCUUCUGUAAUCGAAUCACCAUGCUCUAGCCUUUUAUCAUCUUGAAAGGUGAAUAUUCCCCUGUUUUUCAAACC